GGGGGCGCGCCCUACAGGGGGGCCUGUUGGGGAACGUUGCAAAAAACAAAAAUUUUCCUACUCGUUUCACCAAGAUCAUCUAGGAGUUCAUCUAGCAACGAGUGAUUAGAUGCAUCUACAUACCUUUGUAGAUCGCGCACGGAAGCGUUCAAAAGAACGGUGAUGAUGUAGUCGUACUCGACGUGAUCCAAAUCACCGAUGACCAGCGCCGAACGGACGGCACCUCCGCGUUCAACACACGUACGGGACGGGAGACGUCUCCUCCUUCUUGAUCCAGCAAGGGGGAAGGAGAGGUUGAUGAAGAUCCAGCAGCACGACGGCGUGGUGGUGGAUGCAAGGCGUCACAGCAGCAGGGCUUCGCCGAGACUACGAGGGAGAGACGUAACGGGGGGAGAUGGAGGCGCCAGGGGCUGGUGUAAAAUCCCUCCUCUCCCCCCCACUAUAUAUAGGGGUGCCAAAGGGGGGGGGCGCCGGCCCUAGUAGAUGAGAUCUACUAGGGGGGCGGCGGCCAAGGGGAGGUUUCCCUCCCCCCCAAGGCACCUAGGGGUGCCUUCCACCACUAGGACUCCUCCUAGGGGAAAACCCUAGGCGCAUGGGCCUAUAGGGGCUGGUGCCCUUGGCCCAUCUAGGCCAAGGAGCACCCCCAUAGCCCAUGUGGCCCCCCGGGACAGGUGGCCCCACCCGGUGGACCCCCGGGACCCUUCCGGUGGUCCCGGUACAAUACCGAUAACCCCGAAACUUGUCCCGAUGCCCGAAAUAGCACUUCCUAUAUAUAAUUCUUUACCUCCGGACCAUUCCGGAACUCCUCGUGACGUCCGGGAUCUCAUCCGGGACUCCGAACAACAUUCGGGUUUCUGCAUAUACAUAUCUUCAUAACCCUAGCGUCAUCGAACCUUAAGUGUGUAGACCCUACGGGUUCAGGAGACAAGCAGACAUGACCGAGACGACUCUCCGGUCAAUAACCAACAGCGGGAUCUAGAUACCCAUGUUGGCUCCCACAUGCUCCACGAUGAUCUCAUCGGAUGAACCACAAUGUCGAGGAUUUAAUCAAUCCCGUACGCUAUUCCCUUUGUCUAUCGAUAUGUUACUUGCCCGAGAUUCGAUCGUCGGUAUCCCAAUACCUCGUUCAAUCUCGUUACCGGCAAGUCACUUUACUCGUACCGUAAUGCAUGAUCCCGUGACCAGACACUUGGUCACUCUGAGCUCAUUAUGAUGAUGCAUUACCGAGUGGGCCCAGUGAUACCUCUCCGUCAUACGGAGUGACAAAUCCCAGUCUUGAUCCAUGUCACCCAACAGACACUUUCAGAGAUACCCGUAGUCUACCUUUAUAGUCACCCAGUUACGUUGUGACGUUUGGCACACCCAAAGCACUCCUACGGUAUCCGGGAGUUACACGAUCUCAUGGUCUAAGGAAAAGAUACUUUGACAUUGGAAAACUCUAGCAAACAAACUAUACGAUCUUGUGCUAUGUUUAGGAUUGGGUCUUGUCCAUCACAUCAUUCUCCUAAUGAUGUGAUCUCGUUAUCAAUGACAUCCAGUGUCCAUAGUCAGGAAACCAUGACUAUCUGUUGAUCAACGAGCUAGUCAACUAGAGGCUCACUAGGGACAUGUUGGUGUCUGUUAUUCACACAUGUAUUACGAUUUUCGGAUAACACAAUUAUAGCAUGAAUAAAGACAAUUAUCAUGAACAAGGAAAUAUAAUAAUAAUGCUUUUAUUAUUGCCUCUAGGGCAUAUUUCCAACAGUCUCCCACUUGCACUAGAGUCAAUAAUCUAGUUACAUUGUGAUGAAUCGAACACCCAUGGAAUUCUGGUGUUGAUCAUGUUUUGCUCUAGGGAGAGGUUUAGUCAACGGAUCUGCUACAUUCAGGUCCGUAUGUACUUUACAAAUCUCUAUGUCUCCAUCUUGAACAUUUUCACGAAUGGAGUUGAAGCGGCGCUUGAUGUGCCUUGUCUUCUUGUGAAACCUGGGCUCCUUGGCAAGUGCAAUAGCUCCAGUGUUGUCACAGAAGAGCUUGAUCGGCCCCGACGCAUUGGGUAUGACUCCUAGGUCGGUGAUGAACUCCUUCACCCAUAUUGCUUCAUGUGCUGCCUCCGAGGCUGCCAUGUACUCCGCUUCACAUGUAGAUCCCGCCACGACGCUUUGCUUGCAACUGCACCAGCUUACUGCCCCACCAUUCAAAAUAUACACGUAUCCGGUUUGUGACUUAGAGUCAUCCAGAUCUGUGUCGAAGCUAGCGUCGACGUAACCCUUUACGACGAGCUCUUCAUCACCUCCAUAAACGAGAAACAUUUCCUUAGUCCUUUUCAGGUACUUCAGGAUAUUCUUGACCGCUGUCCAGUGUUCCUUGCCGGGAUUACUUUGGUACCUUCCUACCAAACUGACGGCAAGGUUUACAUCAGGUCUGGUACACAGCAUGGCAUACAUAAUAGAACCUAUGGCUGAGGCAUAGGGGAUGACGCUCAUCUCUUCUAUAUCUUCUGCCGUGGUCGGACAUUGAGCUGAGCUCAAUUUCAUACCUUGCAACACAGGCAAGAACCCCUUCUUGGAUUGAUCCAUAUUGAACUUCUUCAAUAUCUUAUCAAGGUAUGUGCUUUGUGAAAGACCUAUGAGGCGUCUCGAUCUAUCUCUAUAGAUUUUGAUGCCUAAUAUAUAAGCAGCUUCUCCAAGGUCCUUCAUUGAAAAACUUUUAUUCAAGUAGGCCUUGAUGCUGUCCAAGAGUUCUAUAUCAUUUCCCAUCAACAGUAUGUCAUCUACAUAUAAUAUGAGAAAUGCUACAGAGCUCCCACUCACUUUCUUGUAAACGCAGGCUUCUCCAUAAGUCUGUGUAAACCCAAACGCUUUGAUCAUCUCAACAAAGCGAAUGUUCCAACUCCGAGAUGCUUGCACCAGCCCAUAAAUCGAGCGUUGGAGCUUGCACACUUUGUCAGCAUUCUUAGGAUCGACAAAACCUUCCGGCUGCAUCAUAUACAAUUCUUCCUUAAGGAAACCAUUAAGGAAUGCCGUUUUGACGUCCAUUUGCCAUAUUUCGUAAUCAUAGAAUGCGGCAAUUGCUAACAUGAUUCGGACGGACUUCAGCUUCGCUACCGGUGAGAAAGUCUCAUCGUAGUCAACCCCUUGAACUUGUCAAUAACCCUUAGCGACAAGCCGAGCUUUAUAGAUGGUCACAUUACCAUCCGCGUCUGUCUUCCUCUUAAAGAUCCAUUUAUUUUCUAUGGCUCGCCGCUCAACGGGCAAGUCAGUCAAAGUCCAUACUUUGUUUUCAUACAUGGAUCCUAUCUCGGAUUUCAUGGCUUCCAGCCAUUUGCCAGAAUCCGGACCCGCCAUCGCUUCUUCAUAGUUCGAAGGUUCACCAUUGUCUAACAGCAUGAUUUCCAAGACAGGGUUGCCGUACCACUCUGGUGCGGAACGUGUCCUUGUGGACCUUCGAAUUUCAGUAGGGGCUUGAUCAGAAGUAUCUUGAUCAUUUUCAUUAACUUCCUCUCUAGUCGGUGCAGGCACCUCAGGAACAUUUUCUUGAGUUGCGCCAUUUUCCGGUUCAAGAGGUAAUACUUCAUCAAGCUCUACUUUCCUCCCACUUACUUCUUUCGAGAGAAACUCUUUCUCCAGAAAGGACCCAUUCUUGGCAACAAAGAUCUUGCCUUCGGAUCUGAGGUAGAAGGUGUACCCAAUAGUUUCUUUUGGGUAUCCUAUGAAGACGCAUUUUUCCGACUUGGGUUCGAGCUUUUCAGGUUGAAGUUUCUUGACAUAAGCAUCGCAUCCCCAAACUUUUAGAAACGUCAGCUUAGGUUUCUUCCCAAACCAUAAUUCAUACGGUGUCGUCUCAACGGAUUUCGACGGAGCCCUAUUUAAAGUGAAUGCGGCAGUCUCUAAAGCAUAGCCCCAAAAAGAAAGCGGUAAAUCGGUAAGAGACAUCAUAGAUCGCACCAUAUCUACCAAAGUGCGAUUACGACGUUCGGACACACCAUUACGCUGAGGUGUUCCAGGCGGCGUGAGUUGUGAAACUAUUCCACAUUUUCUUAAGUGUGCCCCAAACUCGUGACUCAAGUAUUCUCCUCCACGAUCUGAUCGCAGAAACUUGAUUUUCCUGUCACGUUGAUUUUCAACCUCACUCUGAAAUUCCUUGAACUUUUCAAAGGUUUCAGACUUGUGUUUCAUUAAGUAGAUAUACCCAUACCUACUUAAAUCAUCAGUGAGAGUGAGAACAUAACGAUAGCCACCGCGAGCCUCAACACUCAUCGGACCGCACACAUCAGUAUGUAUGAUUUCCAAUAAGUCGGUUGCUCGCUCCAUUGUUCCUGAGAACGGAGUCUUGGUCAUUUUACCCAUAAGGCAUGGUUCGCACGUGUCAAAUGAUUCAUAAUCAAGAGACUCUAAAAGUCCAUCAGCAUGGAGCUUCUUCAUGCGUUUGACACCUAUGUGACCAAGGCGGCAGUGCCACAGGUAUGUGGGACUAUCAUUAUCAACUUUACUUCUUUUGGUACUCACAUUAUGAAUAUGUGUAGCAUCACGUUCGAGAUUCAUAAGGAAUAAACCAUUCACCAUAGGAGCAUGACCAUAAAACAUAUCUCUCAUAAAAAUGGAACAACCAUUAUUCUCAGAUUUAAAAGAGUAGCCAUCUCGAAUUAAACGAGAUCCUGAUACAAUGUUCAUGCUCAAAGCUGGCACUAAAUAACAAUUAUUAAGGUUUAAAACUAAUCCCGAAGGGAGAUGCAGAGGCAGCGUGCCGACGGCGAUCACAUUGACCUUGGAACCAUUCCCGACGCGCAUCGUCACCUCGUCCUUUGCCAGUUUCCGCUUAUUCCGCAGCCCCUGCUUUGAGUUACAAAUGUGAGCAACUGCACCGGUAUCAAAUACCCAGGAGCUACUACGGGCACUAGUAAGGUACACAUCAAUUACAUGUAUAUCACAUAUACCUUUUGUUUUGCCGGCCUUCUUAUCCGCUAAGUACUUAGGGCAGUUCCGCUUCCAGUGACCGCUUCCCUUGCAAUAAAAGCACUCAGUCUCGGUCUUGGGUCCAUUCUUUGGCUUCUUCCCGGCAGCUUGCUUGCCGGGCGCGGCAACCUCCUUGCCGUCCUUCUUGAAGUUCUUUUUACCCUUGCCUUUCUUGAACUUAGUGGUUUUAUUGACCAUCAACACUUGAUGUUCCUUCCUGACUUCUACCUCUGCUGAUUUCAGCAUAGCAAAUACUUCAGGAAUGGUCUUUUCCAUCCCCUGCAUAUUGAAGUUCAUCACAAAGCUCUUGUAGCUUGGUGGAAGCGACUGGAGGAUUCUGUCAAUGACCGCAUCAUCCGGGAGAUUAACUCCCAGCUGAGUCAAGCGGUUAUGCAACCCAGACAUAGUGAGUAUGUGCUCACUGACAGAACUGUUUUCCUCCAUCUUACAGCUGAAGAAUUUGUCAGAGACUUCAUAUCUCUCGACCCGGACAUGAGCUUGGAAAACCAUUUUCAGCUCUUCGAACAUCUCAUAUGCUCCAUGUCUCUCAAAAUGCUUUUGGAGCCCCGGCUCUAGGCUGUAAAGCAUGCCGCACUGAACGAGGGAGUAGUCAUCGAAACGUGCCUGCCAAGCGUUCAUAACAUCUUGUUCUGCAGGGAGAACGGGUGCGUCACCAAGCGGUGCUUGUAGGACAUAAUCUUUCUUGGCAGCUAUGAGGAUGAUCCUCAGGUUCCGGACCCAGUCCGUAUAGUUGCUGCCAUCAUCUUUCAGCUUAGUUUUCUCUAGGAACGCGUUGAAGUUGAGGACUACGUUGGCCAUUUGAUCUACAAGACAUAUUGCAAAGAUUUUAGACUAAGUUCAUGAUAAUUAAGUUCAACUAAUCAAAUUAUUAGUGAACUCCCACUUAGAUUAGACAUCCCUCUAGUCAUCUAAGUAUUGCAUGAUCCGAGUUAAACUAGACCGUGUCCGAUCAUCACGUGAGACGGACUAGUCAACAUCGGUGAACAUCUUCAUGUUGAUCGUAUCUUCUAUAUGACUCAUGCUCGACCUUUCGGUCUUCUGUGUUCCGAGGCCAUGUAUGUACAUGCUAGGCUCGUCAAGUCAACCUAAGUGUUUGCAUGUGUAAAUCUGUCUUACACCCGUUGUAUGUGAACGUCUGAAUAAAACACCCGAUCAUCACGUGGUGUUUUGAAACAGCGAACUGACGCAACGGUGCACAGUUAGGGGGAACACUUCUUGAAUUUAUUGUGAGGGAUCAUCUUAUUUACUACCGUCGUUCUAAGUAAACAAGAUGCAAAACAUGAUAAACAUCACAUGCAAUCAAAUAAUAAACGUGACAUGAUAUGGCCAAUAUCACAUAGCUCCUUUGAUCUCCAUCUUGGGGCUCCAUGAUCAUCUUGUCACCGGCUUGACACCAUGAUCUCCAUCAUCAUGAUCUCCAUCAUCGUGUCUCCAUGAAGUUGCUCGCCAACUAUUACUUCUACUACUAUGGCUAACGCGUUUAGCAAUAAAGUAAAGUAAUUUACAUGGCGUUUCUUGAUGACACGCAGGUCAUAUAAAAGAAUAAAGACAACUCCUAUGGCUCCUGCCGGUUGUCAUACUCAUCGACAUGCAAGUCGUAAUUCCUAUUACAAUAGCAUGAACAUCUCAUACAUCACAUAUAGAUCAUUCAUCAUUCAUCACAACUUUGGCCAUAUCAUAUCACAAACCACUUGCUGCAAAAACAAGUUAGACGUCCUCUAAUUGUUGUUGCAAGUUUUACGUGGCUGAAUUAGGGUUCUAGCAAGAACGUUUUCUUACCUACGUUAAAGCCACAACGUGAUUUGUCAACUUCUAUUUACCCUUCAUAAGGACCCUGUUCAUCGAUUCCGCUCCAACUAAAGUAGGAGAGACAGACACCCGCCAGCCACCUUAUGCAACUAGUGCAUGUUAGUCGGUGGAACCGGUCUCACGUAAGCGUACGUGUAAGGUUGGUCCGGGCCGCUUCAUCCCACAAUACCGCUGAAGCAAGAAAGGACUAGUAACGGCAAGAAAGUUGACAAAUCUACGCCCACAACAAAUUGUGUUCUACUCGCGCAAGAAGAACUACGCAUAGACCUAGCUCAUGAUGCCACUGUUGGGGAACGUUGCAGAAAACAAAAAUUUUCCUACUCGUUUCACCAAGAUCAUCUAGGAGUUCAUCUAGCAACGAGUGAUUAGAUGCAUCUACACACCUUUGUAGAUCGCGAGCGGAAGCGUUCAAAAGAACGGUGAUGAUGUAGUCGUACUCGACGUGAUCCAAAUCACCGAUGACCAGCGCCGAACGGACGGCACCUCCGCGUUCAACACACGUACGGAACAGCCACGUCUCCUCCUUCUUGAUCCAGCAAGGGAGGGAGGAGAGGUUGAGGGAGAUGGCACCAGCAGCAGCACGACGGCGUGGUGUUGAUGGAGCUGCAGUACUCCGGCAGAGCUUCGCUAAGCACUAUGGAGGUUGAGGAGGUAUUGGGGAGGGAGAAGGAGGCAACCAAAGGCCGAGGCGUUCAGGUAUGAAGUCCCUCCUCUCCCCCACUAUAUAUAGGGGUGCCAAGGGGGGGUGGCCGGCCCUAGGAGAUCCAAUCUCCUAGGGGGUGCGGCGGCCUAGGGGGGGUUUUCCUCCCCCCCAAGGCACCUAGGAGGUGCCUUACCCUCCUAGGACUCUUCCCCUUCUAAACCCUAGGCGCAUGGGCCUAUGUGGGGCUGGUGCCCUUGGCCCAUUAGGCCAAGGCGCACCCCCUUACAGCCCAUGUGCCCCCCCGGGACAGGUGGACCCACCCGGUGGACCCCCGGGACCCUUCCGGUGGUCCCGGUACAAUACCGAUAACCCCGAAACUUGUCCCGAUGCCCGAAACAAGACUUCCCAUAUAUAAAUCUUUACCUCCGGACCAUUCUGGAACUCCUCGUGACGUCCGGGAUCUCAUCCGGGACUCCGAACAACAUUCGGGUUACUGCAUAUACAUAUCCCUACAACCCUAGCGUAACUGAACCUUAAGUGUGUAGACCCUACGGGUUCGAGAGACAAGCAGACAUGACCGAGACGACUCUCCGGUCAAUAACCAACAGCGGGAUCUGGAUACCCAUGUUGGCUCCCACAUGCUCCACGAUGAUCUCAUUGGAUGAACCACGAUGUCGAGGAUUCAAUCAACCCCGUACGCUAUUCCCUUUGUCUAUCGAUAUGUUACUUGCCCGAGAUUCGAUCGUCGGUAUCCCAAUACCUCGUUCAAUCUUGUUACCGGCAAGUCACUUUACUCGUACCGUAAUGCAUGAUCCCGUGACCAAACACUUGGUCACUCUGAGCUCAUUAUGAUGAUGCAUUACCGAGUGGGCCCAGUGAUACCUCUCCGUCAUACGGAGUGACAAAUCCCAGUCUUGAUCCAUGUCACCCAACAGACACUUUCGGAGAUACCCGUAGUCUACCUUUAUAGUCACCCAGUUACGUUGUGACGUUUGGCAUACCCAAAGCACUCCUACGGUAUCCGGGAGUUACACGAUCUCAUGGUCUAAGGAAAAGAUACUUUGACAUUGCAAAACUCUAGCAAACGAACUAUACGAUCUUGUGCUAUGUUUAGGAUUGGGUCUCGUCCAUCACAUCAUUCUCCCAAUGAUGUGAUCUCGUUAUCAAUGACAUCCAGUGUCCAUAGUCAGGAAACCAUGACUAUCUGUUGAUCAACGAGCUAGUCAACUAGAGGCUCACUAGGGACAUGUUGGUGUCUGUUAUUCACACAUGCAUUACGAUUUCCGGAUAACACAAUUAUAGCAUGAAUAAAGACAAUUAUCAUGAACAAGGAAAUAUAAUAAUAAUGCUUUUAUUAUUGCCUCUAGGGCAUAUUUCCAACAGCUUUGAGUUACAAAUGUGAGCAACUGCACCGGUAUCAAAUACCCAGGAGCCACUACGGGCACUAGUAAGGUACACAUCAAUUACAUGUAUAUCACAUAUACCUUUUGUUUUGCCGGCCUUCUUAUCCGCUAAGUACUUAGGGCAGUUCCGCUUCCAGUGACCGCUCCCUUGCAAUAAAAGCACUCAGUCUCGGGCUUGGGUCCAUUCUUUGGCUUCUUCCCGGCAGCUUGCUUGCCGAGCGCGGCAACCUCCUUGCCGUCCUUCUUGAAGUUCUUUUUACCCUUGCCUUUCUUGAACUUAGUGGUUUUAUUGACCAUCAACACUUGAUGUUCCUUCCUGACUUCUACCUCUGCUGAUUUUAGCAUAGCAAAUACUUCAGGAAUGGUCUUUUCCAUCCCCUGCAUAUUGAAGUUCAUCACAAAGCUCUUGUAGCUUGGUGGAAGCGACUGGAGGAUUCUGUCAAUGACCGCAUCAUCCGGGAGAUUAACUCCCAGCUGAGUCAAGCGGUUAUGCAACCCAGACAUAGUGAGUAUGUGCUCACUGACAGAAUUGUUUUCCUCCAUCUUACAGCUGAAGAAUUUGUCGGAGACUUCAUAUCUCUCGACCCGGGCAUGAGCUUGGAAAACCAUUUUCAGCUCUUCGAACAUCUCAUAUGCUCCAUGUCUCUCAAAACGCUUUUGGAGCCCCGGCUCUAGGCUGUAAAGCAUGCCGCACUGAACGAGGGAGUAGUCAUCGAAACGUGCCUGCCAAGCGUUCAUAACAUCUUGUUCUGCGGGGAGAACGGGUGCGUCACCAAGCGGUGCUUGUAGGACAUAAUCUUUCUUGGCAGCUAUGAGGAUGAUCCUCAGGUUCCGGACCCAGUCCGUAUAGUUGCUGCCAUCGUCUUUCAGCUUAGUUUUCUCUAGGAACGCGUUGAAGUUGAGGACUAUGUUGGCCAUUUGAUCUACAAGACAUAUUGUAAAAUAUUUAGACUAAGUUCAUGAUAAUUAAGUUCAACUAAUCAAAUUAUUAGUGAACUCCCACUUAGAUUAGACAUCCCUCUAGUCAUCUAAGUAUUACAUGAUCCGAGUUAAACUAGACCAUUUCCGAUCAUCACGUGAGACGGACUAGUCAACAUCGGUGAACAUCUUCAUGUUGAUCGUAUCUUCUAUACGACUCAUGCUCGACCUUUCGGUCUUCUGUGUUCCGAGGCCAUGUCUGUACAUGCUAGGCUCGUCAAGUCAACCUAAGUGUUUGCAUGUGUAAAUCUGUCUUACACCCGUUGUAUGUGAACGUCUGAAUAAAACACCCGAUCAUCACGUGGUGUUUUGAAACAGCGAACUGUCGCAACGGUGCACAGUUAGGGGGGACACUUCUUGAAUUUAUUGUGAGGGAUCAUCUUAUUUACUACCGUCGUUCUAAGUAAACAAGAUGCAAAACAUGAUAAACAUCACAUGCAAUCAAAUAAUAAACGUGACAUGAUAUGGCCAAUAUCACAUAGCUCCUUUGAUCUCCAUCUUGGGGCUCCAUGAUCAUCUUGUCACCGGCUUGACACCAUGAUCUCCAUCAUCAUGAUCUCCAUCAUCGUGUCUCCAUGAAGUUGCUCGCCAACUAUUACUUCUACUACUAUGGCUAACGCGUUUAGCAAUAAAGUAAAGUAAUUUACAUGGCGUUUCUUGAUGACACGCAGGUCAUAUAAAAGAAUAAAGACAACUCCUAUGGCUCCUGCCGGUUGUCAUACUCAUCGACAUGCAAGUCAUGAUUCCUAUUACAAUAGCAUGAACAUCUCAUACAUCACAUAUAGAUCAUUCAUCAUUCAUCACAACUUUGGCCAUAUCAUAUCACAAACCACUUGCUGCAAAAACAAGUUAGACGUCCUCUAAUUGUUGUUGCAAGUUUCACGUGGCUGAAUUAGGGUUCUAGCAAGAACGUUUUCUUACCUACGUUAAAGCCACAACGUGAUUUGUCAACUUCUAUUUACCCUUCAUAAGGACCCUGUUCAUCGAUUCCGCUCCAACUAAAGUAGGAGAGACAGACACCCGCCAGCCACCUUAUGCAACUAGUGCAUGUUAGUCGGUGGAACCGGUCUCACGUAAGCGUACGUGUAAGGUUGGUCCGGGCCGCUUCAUCCCACAAUACCGCUGAAGCAAGAAAGGACUAGUAACGGCAAGAAAGUUGACAAAUCUACGCCCACAACAAAUUGUGUUCUACUCGCGCAAGAAGAACUACGCAUAGACCUAGCUCAUGAUGCCACUGUUGGGGAACGUUGCAGAAAACAAAAAUUUUCCUACUCGUUUCACCAAGAUCAUCUAGGAGUUCAUCUAGCAACGAGUGAUUAGAUGCAUCUACAUACCUUUGUAGAUCGCGCACGGAAGCGUUCAAAAGAACGGUGAUGAUGUAGUCGUACUCGACGUGAUCCAAAUCACCGAUGACCAGCGUCGAACGGACGGCACCUCCGCGUUCAACACACGUACGGGACGGGAGACGUCUCCUCCUUCUUGAUCCAGCAAGGGGGAAGGAGAGGUUGAUGAAGAUCCAGCAGCACGACGGCGUGGUGGUGGAUGCAGGGCGUCACAGCAGCAGGGCUUCGCCGAGACUACGAGGGAGAGACGUAACGGGGGGAGAUGGAGGCGCCAGGGGCUGGUGUAAAAUCCCUCCUCUCCCCCCACUAUAUAUAGGGGUGCCAAAGGGGGGGGGCAGCCCUAGUAGAUGAGAUCUACUAGGGGGGGCGACGGCCAAGGGGAGGUUUCCCUCCCCCCCCCAAGGCACCUAGGGGUGCCUUCCACCACUAGGACUCCUCCUAGGGGAAAACCCUAGGCGCAUGGGCCUAUAGGGGCUGGUGCCCUUGGCCCAUCUAGGCCAAGGAGCACCCCCUACAGCCCAUGUGGCCCCCCGGGACAGGUGGCCCCACCCGGUGGACCCCCGGGACCCUUCCGGUGGUCCCGGUACAAUACCGAUAACCCCGAAACUUGUCCCGAUGCCCGAAAUAGCACUUCCUAUAUAUAAUUCUUUACCUCCGGACCAUUCCGGAACUCCUCAUGACGUCCGGGAUCUCAUCCGGGACUCCGAACAACAUUCGGGUUUCUGCAUAUACAUAUCUUCAUAACCCUAGCAUCACCGAACCUUAAGUGUGUAGACCCUACGGGUUCGGGAGACAAGUAGACAUGACCGAGACGACUCUCCGAUCAAUAACCAACAGCGGGAUCUGGAUACCCAUGUUGGCUCCCACAUGCUCCACGAUGAUCUCAUCGGAUGAACCACAAUGUCGAGGAUUUAAUCAAUCCCGUACGCUAUUCCCUUUGUCUAUCGAUAUGUUACUUGCCCGUUCAAUCUCGUUACCGGCAAGUCACUUUACUCGUACCGUAAUGCAUGAUCCCGUGACCAGACACUUGGUCACUCUGAGCUCAUUAUGAUGAUGCAUUACCGAGUGGGCCCAGUGAUACCUCUCCAUCAUACGGAGUGACAAAUCCCAGUCUUGAUCCAUGUCACCCAACAGACACUUUCAGAGAUACCCGUAGUCUACCUUUAUAGUCACCCAGUUACGUUGUGACGUUUGGCACACCCAAAGCACUCCUACGGUAUCCGGGAGUUACACGAUCUCAUGGUCUAAGGAAAAGAUACUUUGACAUUGGAAAACUCUAGCAAACGAACUAUACGAUCUUGUGCUAUGUUUAGGAUUGGGUCUUGUCCAUCACAUCAUUCUCCCAAUGAUGUGAUCUCGUUAUCAAUGACAUCCAGUGUCCAUAGUCAGGAAACCAUGACUAUCUGUUGAUCAACGAGCUAGUCAACUAGAGGCUCACUAGGGACAUGUUGGUGUCUGUUAUUCACACAUGUAUUACGAUUUCCGGAUAACACAAUUAUAGCAUGAAUAAAGACAAUUAUCAUGAACAAGGAAAUAUAAUAAUAAUGCUUUUAUUAUUGCCUCUAGGGCAUAUUUCCAACAGGGCCUCCUUUCUCGUGUGGCCCCCGGAGGCUUCUUGACUUGCACUCCAAGCUCUCCGGAUCAGAUUUGUUCCAAAAAUAACACUCCCGAAGGUUUCAUUCCGUUUGGACUCCAUUUGAUAUUCCUUUUGUUCGAAAUACCAAAAUAGGCAAAAAAACAGCAAUAUGGGCUGGGCCUCCGGUUAGUAGGUUAGUCCCAAAAAUGAUAUAAAUGUGUAAAAUAAAGCCCAUAAACAUCCAAAAGAGGUAAUAUAAUAGCAUGGAACAAUCAAAAAUUAUAGAUACGUUGGAGACGUAUCAAGCAUCCCCAAGCUUAAUUCCUGCUCGUCCUCGAGUAGGUAAAUGAUAAAAAGAGAAUUUUUUAUGUGGAAUGCUACCUAGAAUUAUUCAUAAUGUAAUUUUCUUUAUUGUGGCAUGAAUGUUCAGAUCCAAAUGAAUACAAAAUAAAAGUUCAUAUUGACAUAAGAAAUGGUAAUACUUCAAGCAUACUAAUCAAAGUAAUCAUGUCUUCUCAAAAUAACAUGGCUAAAGAAAGUUAUCCCUACAAAAUCAUAUAGUCUGGCUAUGCUCUAUCUUCAUCACACAAAGUAUUUAAUCAUGCACAACCCCAAUGACAAGCCAAGCAAUUGUUUCAUACUUUAAUAAUCUCAAACUUUUUCAACUUUCACGCAAUACAUGAGCGUGAGCCAUGGACAUAGCACUAUAUGUGGAAUAGAAGGGUGGUUGUGGAGAAGACAAAAAGGAGAAGAUAGUCUCACAUCAACUAGGCGUAUCAACGGGCUAUGGAGAUGCCCAUUAAUAGAUAUCAAUGUGAGUGAGUAGGGAUUGCCAUGCAACGGAUGCACUAGAGCUAUAAAUAUAUGAAAGCUCAACAAAAGAAACUAAGUGGGGUGCAUCCAACUUGCUUGCUCACGAAGACCUAGGGCACUUUUGAGGAGGCCCAUCAUUGGAAUAUACAAGCCAAGUUCUAUAAUGAAAAAUUCCCACUAGUAUAUGAAAGUGACAACAUAUGAGACUCUCUAUCAUGAAGAUCAUUGUGCUAUUUUGAAGCACAAGUGUGGAAAAAGAGAUAGUAGCAUUAUCCCUUCUCUCUUUUUCUCUCAUUUUUAUUUUUUUUCUUUUUUCUUCCUUUUUUUCUUUGGCCUUUUUUUCUUUUUGGCCUUUCUAUUUCCCCCCCUUUUUUUUCUUUUUGUAAAGUACGAAGUCUCAUCCCGACUUGUGGGGGAAUCAUAGUCUUCAUCAUCCUUUCCUCACUAGGACAAUGCUCUAAUAAUGAAGAUCAUCACACUUUAUGGAUUUACAACUCAAAGCUAGAACAAGAUAUGACUCUAUAUGAAUGCCUCUGGCGGUGUACCGGGAUAUGCAAUGAAUCAAGAGCGACAUGUAUGAAAAUUAAUGCGUGUCAUAUGAACGGAACGGUGGAAAGUUGCAUGGCAAUAUAUCUUGAAAUGGCUAUGGAAAUGCCAUAAUAGGUAGGUAUGGUGGCUGUUUUGAGGAAGGAGUAUGGUGGGUGUAUGGUACCGGCGAAAAUUGCACGGUACAAGAGAGGCUAGCAAUAGUGGAAGGGUGAAAGAGUGCGUAUAAUCCAUGGACUCAACAUUAAUCAAAGGAACUCAUAUACUUGUUGCAAAAAUUUAGAAGUCAUCAAAAACCAAAGUACUACGCGCAUGCUCCUAGGGGGAUAGAUUGGUAGGAAAAGACCAUCGCUCGUCCCCGACCGCCACUCAUAAGGAAGACAAUUAAUAAAUAAAAUUGUGCUCCAACUUCAUCACAAAGCGGUUCACCAUACGUGCAUGCUAUGGGAAUCACAAGCUUCAACACAAGCAUUCUUUAAAUUCAUAAUCACCCAACUAGCAUGACUUUAAUAUCACUACCUCCAUAUAUCAAAACAAUUAUCAAGCAUCAAAUUGAUCAUAGCAUCCAAUUCACUUUCUAUGAUAGUUUUUAUUAUACCCAACUUGGAUGCUCAUCAUUCUAGAACCAACUUUAUGAUCAUAGCAAAUACCAUGCUGUUAUAAAAGACUCUCAAAAUAAUAUAAGUGAAGCAUGAGAGACUAGCAAUUUCUUCAAAAUUAAGACACCACCAUGCUCUAAAAGAUAUAAGUGAAGCACUAGAGCAAAAACUAUCAAGCUCAAAAGAUAUAAGUGAAGCACAUAGAGUAUUCUAGCAAAUUAUAAUCAAAUAGGCUUCUCCAAAAAGGUGUGUACAGCAAGGAUGGUUGUGGUAAACUAAAAAGUAAAGACUAAUAUAAUACACGACGCUCCAAGCAAUACACAUAUCAUGUGGCGAAUAAAAAUAUAGCUCCAAGUAAAGUUACAAAUGAACGAAGACGAAAGAGGGGAUGCCUUCCCGGGGCAUCCCCAAGCUUAGGAUUUUGGCUAUUCUUGAAUAUCUUGGGGUGCCAUGUGCAUCCCCAAUCUUAGGCUCUUGCCAGUCCUUAUUCCAUUGUCCAUAAAAGCUUUACCCAAAACUUGAAAACUUCACAACACAAAACUCAACAUGAAAUCUUAUAAGCUCCGUUAGUGAAAGAAAACAAAACCACCACAUAAGGUACUGCCAUGAACUCAUUCUUUAUUUAAUUUGGUGUUAAACCUACUGUAUUCCAACUUAUUUAUGGUUCAUAGACUGAUUUACUAUCCAUAGAUGCAUUGAAAUAAGCAAACAACACACGAAAAACAGAAUCUGUCAAAAACAGAACAGUUUGUAGCAAUCUGUAACUAACGCAAACUUCUGGAACUCUAAAAAUCCUACCAAAAUAGGAAGUCCUGUACAAUUUGUCUAUUGAACAGCAUAAAAAAGAAUCAACGCAAACGCACGUUCCUGUGAUUUAACAAAAUUAUAUUCGUGCGUGCAAAGUUUUUGUUUUUCAGCAGAAUCAAAUCAACUAUCAUCGUAGGUUAUUCUAUAGAUUCUACUUGGCACAAACACUAAUUAAAAGAUAAAAACACAUCUAACCAGAAGGUAGAUGCAAGAUUUAUUACUAAAUAGGAGCAAAAACAAAAAACAUAAAGAAAAUUUGGUUGCCUCCCAACUAGCGCUAUUGUUUAACGCCGCUAGCUAGGCAUAAAACAAAGAUAGAUCUAAUGAGUGUCAUCUUUGGCACUAAAUUCAUAAGUAGCACGCAUGAUAGAUUCAUAAGGUAAUUUAACUUUCUUUCUUGAAAAGUGCUCCAUGCCUUUCUUUAAUGGAAACUGGAAUCUAAUAUUCCCUUCCUUCAUAUCAAUAAUCGCACCAAUCGUUCUAAGGAAAGGUCUACCAAGAAUAAUAGGGCAAGAAAGAUUGCAAUCUGUAUCAAGAACGAUAAAAUCUACGGGCACCAAAUUUCUAUUUCCAACAAUGAGAACAUCAUUGAUCCUUCCCAUAGGCUUUUUAAUGGUGGAAUCCGCAAGGUGCAAAUUUAAAGAGCAACCAUCAAGAUCGCGGAAACCUAGAAUAUCACAUAAAGUUUUCGGAAUCAUGGAAACACUAGCACCCAAAUCACACAAAGCAAAACACUCAUAAUCUUUAAUUCUAAUCUUUAUAGUAGGUUCCCACUCAUCAUUAAGUUUUCUAGGUAUAGAAACUUCCAAAUUAAGUUUUUCAUCAUAAGAUUUCAUCAAGGCAUCAACAAUAUGUUUGGUAAAAGCUUUGUUUUGACUAUAAGCAUGAGGAAAAUUAACAACGGAUUGCAACAAGGAAAUACAACCUUUUAAAGUGCAAUUAUCAUAAUCAAAUUCCUUGAAAUCCGAGAUAGUAGGUUCAAUAUUAAUAGAAGUUGAGGAUUUUCCAAUCUCACUUUUACCAAAUUUAACAUCAAGAUCUAAAGACUCUCAAUUUUUGGGACGCCUUCUAGGCAAAGUUGAUUCAUCAUCACUCCCAUAAUCAUCAAAAUUCAUAUUGCAAAACAUAGAUCUAAUCGGAGACGUAUCAAUAACUUUAAGAUCCUCAUCAUUAUUUUCAUGAAAUUUUUCUGGUUUAGCGGCCAUCUUGUUGACUAAGGUGGCUUGCUUGUCAGAAAUUUUGGCUAUAGCAUUUUCAAGCCGGGUAAUUUGAGCGUUAACACCAUAGAAUUCUUUAUUCAUAUCAUCAAGCUCUUUGUUCAUGAACCCCCAAUUUUUUUUGUUCCUUAAGCUCUUUUCUAAAGAAAUUAUUAUGCUCAAAUUGCAAAUUCAUAAAACUUCUAAUAUUUGAUUCAAUCUCAUCCAUCCUUCUGAGAAGGUGGCCAGGGCCCUUAGGCGCAGCCAUAAGGUCAAGCAAGCAAACAAGCACACAAAAGAAGACAAAUGAAAAGAUAGGAGGAGAUUGGGAAAGAGAGGGCGAAUAAAAUGGGAAGGGUGAAGUGGGGGAGAGGAAAACGAGAGGCAAAUAGCAAAUAAUGUAAAUGCGAGGGAGAUGGGUUUGUGAUGGGUACUUGGUAUGUCUUGACUUGAGCGAAGACCUCCCCGCCAACGGCGCCAGAAAUCCUUCUUGCUACGUCUUGAGCUUGCGUUGGUUUUCCUCGAAGAGGAGAGGGUGAUGCAGCAAAGUAUAGCGUAAGUAUUUCCCUCACUUUUGAGAACCAAGGUAUCAAUCCAGUAGGAGUCUCCUCAAAAGUCCCACGCACCUACACAAACAAACUGAGAACUCGCAACCAACACAAUAAAGGGGUUGUCAAUCCCUUCAUGGCCACUUGCAAAAGUGAGAUCUAAUAAAGAUAGUAUGAUAAGAUAAAUAUAUUUUUGGUAUUUUAUAAGAUAGAUGCAAAAAGUAAAGAUGCAAAUAAAGGUAGAUUGAAAGCAAAUAUGAUAAGAGAUAGACCCGGGGGCCAUAGGUUUCACUAGUGGCUUCUCUCAAGAUAGCAUAAGUAUUACGGUGGGUGAACAAAUUACUGUCGAGCAAUUGAUAGAAAAGUGCAUAGUUAUGAGAUUAUCUAGGCAUGAUCAUGUAUAUAGGCAUCACGUCCAUAACAAGUAGACCGACUCCUGCCUGCAUCUACUACUAUUACUCCACACAUCGACCAACUCCUGCCUGCAUCUAGAGUAUUAAGUUCAUAAGAACAGAGUAACGCAUUAAGCAAGAUGACAUGAUGUAGAGGGAUAAACACAUGCAAUAUGAUAUAAACCCCAUCUUGUUAUCCUCGAUGGCAACAAUACAAUACGUGUCUUGCAACCCUUUCUGUCACUGGGUAAGAACACCGCAAGAUUGAACCCAAAGCUAAGCACUUCUCCCAUGGCAAGAAAGACCAAUCUAGUAGGCCAAACCAAACUGAUAAUUCGAAGAGACUUGCAAAGAUAACUCAAUCAUACAUAAAAGAAUUCAGAGAAGAUUCAAAUAUUAUUCAUAGAUAAACUUGAUCAUAAACCCACAAUUCAUCGGAUAUCAACAAACACACCGCAAAAAGCGAUUACAUCGAAUAGAUCUCCACAAGAGAGGGGGAGAACAUUGUAUUGAGAUCCAAAAAGAGAGAAUAAGCCAUCUAGCUAAUAACUAUGGACCCGUAGGUCUGUGGUAAACUACUCACAACUCAUCGGAGGGGCAAGGAUGUUGAUGUAGAGGCCCUCCAUGGUUGCUUCCCCCUCCGGCAGAGUGCCGGCAAGGGCUCCAAGAUGGGAUCUCGCGGAUACAAAAGGUUACGGCGGUGGAAAUUGUGUUUCGUGGUGCUCCUGGAUGUUUUCUGGGUAUGUAGGUAUAUAUAGGAGGAAGAAGUACGUCGGUGGACGCCCGAGGGGCCCACGAGACAGGGGGCGCGCCCUCCUAUCUUGUGGGGACCUCAGAGGCUUUUUGACUUGCACUCCAAGCUCUCUAGAUCAGAUUUGUUCCAAAAAUAAUGCUCCCGAAGGUUUCAUUCCAUUUGGACUCCGUUUGAUAUUCCUUUUCUUCGAAAUACUGAAAUAGGCAAAAAAAACAGCAAUAUGGGCUGGGCCUCCGGUUAGUAGGUUAGUCCCAAAAAUGAUAUAAAUGUGUAAAAUAAAGCCCAUAAACAUCCAAAAGAGGUAAUAUAAUAGCAUGGAACAAUCAAAAAUUAUAGAUACAUUGGAGACGUAUCACUGCCUCACAAACGCGCAACCGAGCAUGAAAGAUUGGCCAUGUCGGUUUAUUCUAAUGAAGGGUGCGAACGGCAUAUUAUACAUGUUGCUCAUGUAGGUAGUGUCAAACGAUAUGCAAUCGUGGUACGCCUCAGCAUAAGCUUUUCGAGCUAAGCCAUCCACCCAAAAUAUGUUGACAACUCUGUCCUCUUCAUCAUAUUUUACCUUAUAGAAGAAGUCUGGAUCGGUUUUCUGUAUAUCCUUGAAGUGCGCAAUUGUCUCAAUCAUGUCACCCUCCUUUGUGUUAUCUCUACGGAAACUUGUACACGCAUUUGUUAUUGCCUUUGGUCCGAGCGUCACCAUCAUCUCAGAUCCGUAGAACUCUGCCAUUAUAUGCAUCAUACGUCCUGCAUAAUACAAAAACAAAUAGUAUAUCCUUUUUUUAGUUGCACUAAUGCGCACAUCCAGCUGCACAGUAAUAGGACAUGUGUUGGCACAGAAGAUAAUUGCAGGAAAUGGACACCUAGCUGCACAUUUUUAAAAACACUUUGCACUUUUUGCAUACAGGACAUUGUGUAGUUGCACAGUGAAGACAAUCUAGUUGCACAACAAGCACCAAAAGUGAUAUACAAACAACAUGGGAAGUUGGACACCAGUUGCACAGUUAAGUCAUUUUAGUUGCACAGUAGUACCAUAACAGUUGCACACUAGACUGCCUAGAGGCAAACUUAAUUCUUUAAGGGAUAUAGAAACACCACACCUGUAGUCAAGUUGCAGUUAUACAAGAUGCGCAAAAACUCCUUUUCAUCAGGUGAGAUGCCUUGGUGGGAUCUCAAGUAUUUGGAUAACGAAGGUUUGUUCACGAGCGGAUGAUUGUGGUCACGAACAAAAUGCGUCACCUCCCAUCGCCCAUCUAUCAGCUUCACCAACAUUUUUGCCUUGCAUUGAGUCUGCUUUAUUGUCUCGCGUUUUCGUUUCUUCUUCUUACUAGGACCAGCCCCCUCUUCAGCAAAGAUUGGAGGUUGACCUUCCAUUUCCUCAUCACUGUCAACAGUUUUUGGAUCUGGAAUAGGGUCCAGGACAGGAGGAGCCUCAGCUCCUCCAUCAUCAGCUUUGGGCUUCUUGAACUUGUUACAGCAAAACUGUUGUUUUACCAAUACAUUGGUGUGGGGUGUCAGCCUAGAGGUGUACAUCUUGACAGAGAAACCCAUCCGUAGUGCGUAGCUGUUGUAGUGAUCCUUAGCAAUUUGAAGGCUGUCAAACCUCAUGCCAACAUAGGGUUCCAUAGGUUGAGAACCAGCCUCAUCCUCUCCUUCUUUUCCUUGCACAGCUCCGUCGACAGCCCCAGCUCCUAGCUCAGUCCUGGUUGGACCAGGAACAUUUGCCGCGGUUCCCGUGUCAUCAAGAGUAUGGCUCUCUGACUGCAAAGACACCACUACAGGGGCACCACAGGUUGAUGACUGGCCUGCCACAUUGUCAUGGCCCAUAGGGUUACCACCACGACUUGCCUGCGUGUAGUAAACAGAUCGCCCAUUUUCUGUCCAAUUUCCUUGUGGUAUACUGGGUUGCUGCUAAUCCAUAUCAUGAGGAAGCUCAUUGAGAUCAGGAGGCAACUCAUUGAGAUCAAGCUUUUCCCCCUUUUUUGGAUGCUGCCACACACUCCCUGCACAUAUAAAAAAGAAGAAAGUGAUGUCAUCAGUUGUUAACCACAGAAAAGAGUGUUUCAAACAACCUAAAAACUUAGUAAAUAGGCAGUUGCACACCAUUUCAUGACAAUCUUAGUUCCAAAAGCAACAUGACUGUACCAUAAUCUUUAUUAUAACAGUUAUGCAUUUUUUUGUUUGCAUAGAGUUGUUGUGUUAGUUGCACAGUUUGCAGUAAAUAGCUGGCAAGAACAUGACUUCUUUUUACUACAGAGUUUUCUGACUUUUUCCCUCUAUUUGUUGCAAUGAUCUGCAGGUUUUCUGUUUGGCAAGGAGCUGUUUUAGAUUUUUCUGCACAUAAUUUGAUGUUACAUUUGAGACGGAAAAUCCAGGUGAAAGAAGAAAGAAGAAUUGGAUGACAGAUUAUAGUUAUAUGUUUUCAUCGCUGUUUAUGACUUUAGUUCUGGUAUAUUGAACAUCUUUUUACACUAUAGCUUUGCAAUAGGUGUGGGACCAGAAUAUAUGUGUGGGACAAGAUUACAUGCGUGAAUAUUUUAAUAUGGUUUGUGGCUUCAUUAGCUAUGGACAAAAGUUCUUGUGUUUUUGCUGUCGCACUACAGAUUUCUGGUUUUCGCUAGAAUAGAUGUCUCAAUUGCCAGGAUGCAUUUUUUCAGUUGGCCAGCAUACAUAUUCAGUUGGACAGUCAAUGUGUUUAGUUAGCUAGAAUAGAUGUCUCAGUUGGCCAGGUUGCAUUUAUUUUAGUUUUGGCCAAUAUGCAUGUUCAGUUGGACAGUUAAUGUGUUCAGUUGGCUAGAAUAGAUGUUUCAGUUGGCCAGGAUACAUUUUUUCAGUUUGGCCAACAUGCAUGUUUAGUUGGCCAGAAAACAUGUUUUUAUUGCACAUAUAUUAUAGGUUUUCUAAAAUGUUAACUCACAAAUAUCCAGUACAUGUGGGGUACAAUGCAUGUUUUAGUUUUGGCUAGCAUGCAUGCUGAGUUGCCAGAAUAUAGAUUCAGUUGGCUGGGAUGCAUGUUCAGUUGCACAUUUAUGAUUUUUUGCUGCACAUAUCUUUUGGACAGUCAAUUUGUUCAUUUGCAAACAAUAACUACAAGUUGGUAGAAUGCAUGUUUAGUUUUUGGCUACAAUGCUUGUUGAGUUGGCUUUAAUCAUGUUUUAAUUGGCCAGGGAACUUGUUUUAGUUGGCUUGUUUAACACAUCCAGGUGGUAGAAACUUGUUUGGCAUGCAUCAUAUUCAGUAAAGUUGGUCUCAAAUCAUGUUUAGUGUGCAACUAGGCAGCUGUGCAACUAAACUUGACUUGUGUUUAGUUGCACAAACCAUGAAAUAGUAGGCUUCCAUCCAUGGUUUGUCGGUGUUCUGGGAACGGCGGUCCCUAGACUUGCCUGCUUGCGGCCUGCGGCGUGGCUCAAAGGGGGCCCAGCACGGCCCAUCUUCAUCAACACAAGCUCAGGACCCUCGCGAGGGGCCAAGCCUCGCGGGGCGGACGACCAGGAGCUUCCUCAGGCACGGCCUCAUCAGGCUAGCUCGCGAGGAGGCGGGGAGAUCAAGGCGGGGUACCCAUGACGCAAGCCAUGACGACCAAGGGCGCCAGUCGGGCGCCAGCCCGCGCAGCGUCCUCCUUUCCUCUUUGAUGCAAAGGGAGCAAGCGCAGGCAAGAGCAUCAAGCAAAGGCAUCCAUUUCGGUGCAACAAGACCAAGACUAGCCCAACGGCAGGGAGGAAGUCAUUGUGAAGCCCAAGCAGGCGUCACCACCAGAGCCUUUGACAGGCGAGGACCAACUUUAGUCAGGAUAAGUGUACCCGAUGUUCCCCUUCAAAAUGGCCAAUUGUUGGCGCCCUUCCCGCUCAAUAUUUGGGGAGAGGCCCAGGGCCUUUGCCUAUAAAUAGGAAUAGCCACCCCCAUGGUAGAGAGAGCGAGCAGCUAGCAUCGAGCAUCAAGAAUCCACAAGAUAGACAGGAUCCUCACCAGAAAACUAGUAGAGAGAGCGACUGAACUCCUCCUAGCAGCUCAUCGCACCAGCCAAGAACAGACCCUCACGAGGCUGUUCUUCCUUGUAUUGUUCAUCAACAGCCCAAGAGGCAAUCCACCAUACCACACACUGGAGUAGGGUAUUACACCACGAUGGUGGCCUGAACCAGUAUAAACUCUGUGUCUCUUGUGUUGUUCCUUCCGUAGUUUAGAUCCUAGCGAGUCGGCGAGGGGCAGGUAGGUAGAGGGCAAAAUCUCCGCACGCACCCCAGUGUUCGAACCUCAAGGGUCUGCCGGAACCCGAAAUCCGACAUUUGGCGCGCCAGGUAGGGGUGCGCCGGAAUUCGUCUUCCGUCGCCCUGUUCUUCUCCGACCAUCGCAUCCAUGUCUGAUGCUCGUCGUUCCCCGUCACUUGCCAUCAACGCCGCCACCGGCCCCGCGGGGAACGAGCAGCAAGCAUCGUCCCAGCAUCCUUCCAAGAGGCAAGACGGCCGCACUGCUACCCCCUCCCUCACCCCAGCUGGUUCUUCGUCUCGCGCAUUCCGCGCGCCCAUGGAGGCUCGAGCUGCGCUCAUCGCGGCGAACGAGCUCCUGUGCUACCGUCCGGUCGACGACGUCUACGAAGAAUGGCUCGACCGCGUCGCCGAGCUCGUCCGUGCCGCAGGGGGCUCUCCUGCGUCGUCCAUCCCACUGCACCGCACCCCGCCCUGCGCGGGCGAUGAAGCUCCGGGGGCGCCUCAGCCGCCUCCCCCUCAAGAAGGCGCCCUGGCCCCAAGGUGCGUGGCCCCUGGGCGGAACCCGCUCCGUCAGGCGCCAGUGUGGUAGGAGCAGAGCUGCCAAGAAGUUCCUUGCCCGUGAGAAGCUGCCCGAGCACUCCCUGCUCCGGCUCGUCGCGACCACGCUCCUGCUCCAGCGCGUCAAGACCCCGCGCUUGUCAGGACCCCGACUCAAUGCCACAUCGAUCUAGCAUGUAACACCUCAUAUCACUUUGCGGCCUCACGCACGGUAUUCCCACGGGUGUCGCCUUACCUUAGCCCGGGACCGUUUGCGCCUUUUGGCACACGUAUAUGACAGUGUCGCUAGCAUCCAUAUGAUAAGGAGCCCGGGCUGACAUGGCUAGUCGUAAACCCAAAGUGGCACAGACUUACAGGGACAGGCAUCCAUGACCCAGCAUCGAACGUGUCGGUCAUCAGCGAGUGAAACCAGGCUGUAGCACUGGGCUAGCAGGACUCCAGUGAACCGGGCUGUAGCGGGCUAACAGGACUCCGGUACUCAAUGCGUGACAUUUCCCCGAAGGGACAGACACAGGAACGAAGAAGGACACAUGCCGGCCAGCCUAAGUGUUCCAGAGCAGUAGCAAGCUACCAUGGCUCAGCGGUAACACUAGGAGACAUUUCCCGGUAAGAGAGGCUACUAAAGAUAAACAACUAGAUAGUCAGAUCCCACACAUACCAAGCAUUUCAAUCAUACACACAAUAUGCUCGAUAUGUGCAAAAACAACGAAGCAUCACAACAUGACUCUACGACACAAGUACUUAUUCAAUAGGCUCCGAGGAGCGAGAUAUUACAAACAUGGGUCUCAUGACCCAACAAUCAGAGCAUACAAGUCAAAGCACAAACGGAAGCUAUCAUGUCUGGGUACAGACAUCUAUAACUGAAAAAGGCUGAGAAGCCUGACUAUCUACCAAUCCUGCCGAGGCACAAGAUCGUAGCUGAGGUAACAAGCUAAACGUCGAAGACCACACGGAAUUACUAGUGAGACUGAAGUCUCUCUGCAAAAACAUAAAAUAGGCAAACGUGAGUACAAAUGUACCCAGCAAGACUUACAUCAGAACUAUCUACAUAUGCAUCAUUAUCAACAAAGGGGAUGGUGGGGUUAAACUGCAGCAAGCCAGCUUUGACUCGGUGGCUAUCCUGAACUACGACUGCAGGUAACUCUUUUGAGGUGGCGCACACGAGUCCACAUAUUCACCAUAUCAAUACACCACUAUGGAUCCGCUCCCGUCUCCCUACGAGAACGCCAUCCACAGCACUCACGCUUAUCUUGCGUAUUUUAGAGUAUCCACUUUCACUUGUCUAUGAACUGAUAUAAGCAACCCAGAAGUCCUUUUCCGCGGACACGGCUAUUCGAAUAGAUGAUGUUAACCCUGCAGGGGUGUACUUCUUCAUACAUGUUUCCACCACUUAGCGUCUGCACACGACAUGUGCUCGGCAGACUUCAAGCGAAAGCCGACGUGGGUGUAGACCACGACCUACCUAAACACUCAAGUCUCUAGUCCAGGUUUAUCGCCUAUUCAGGUUCCAUCCAUGAGGAGAUCCGGCCGGAGUUUCGCUCACAGCCCCAAACGAUGUGAACAGGGUUCUCGAGAUACCAAACGGGCAUCCGGUACACCGUGCCACGUACCUACCGCAUCACGGCCCACCCCUACGGUCAGCGCUGUCCACGGCCUCCAGUAAGCUACAAACACCAGAAACUACUUGCAACUCCUGGACAGAGGACAAGGGUGAAUAAGAAGUCGAGCGGGGUCAUAUUUCAGGGCCCAAUGUAUGGUAGUAACUGAAUCAUGGAUCACAAACACAGAACUCAGUUCCUGAGGACGGCUGCAAUGAGACAACCCACCAUGUACUCCUACAUGGCCUCUCACGGCUACCUUUACCAAAUCGUGUUCACCACUUAGCUCACACACAGUAGGACAUGUUCACACACCUCUGAUUCAUCCCUGAUGAAUCAGACCUGACUCAACUCUAAGCAGUAGCAGGCAUGACAAACAAGCAAGAAUGAGUAGGCACAACAGGGCUCAAACAACUCCUACUCAUACUAGUGGGUUUCAUCUAUUUACUGUGGAAUGACAGGUCAUGCAAAGGAUAAAGGGGUUCAGCUACCGCAGCAAGUAACAGAUGAAUCGGUGUUGUCCUAAUGCAUUAAAAGAGAGCAGGAGCGAGAGAGUAGGAUUGUAUCGAAAUGAACAAGGGGGGUUUUUGCUUGCCUGGCACUUCUGAAGAUAACAUUGAGUCUUCAUCAGUGUCAACGAUCACAUCAUCGGUAUCACAUCUAUCGAGAGGGGACAAAUACCGGCAACACAGAAGGAAACACAAUCAAUGCAAUGCACAAUAUGAUGCAUGAUCAUGACAUGGCAAAAUGAAUGUGUUUUGGGCUAAUGCAUCUAGCAACAAGUUAAAUGGAGUUGGUUUGAACCCUAGGUUCAAAUUCAAACUCCACAUGUGAUUAUUUAAAUGCUAUUAAUGUGAUUUGUGAUAAACAGCAGCUAUAAGUUGUUCUAACAUGCAUGAAAAUGGUACAGAUGGAUUCCUUGAAUUUUUCUGAUAAUUUUUCAUAUAUAAAUUAUUUAAUUUGGAGUUACGGUUAAUUUUCUAUGAUUUAUUGAAGUUUAGGGCAUUUUCUGGAAUUUCCUGAUUAUUUUUAAAUCCAGAAAAUACUUAUUGCGUCAGCCCCACGUCACAGUGACGUCAGCAGGGUCAACUGGGCGUCCCAGGUCAAACCUGACCAGUGGGGUCCACUGGUCAGUGACCCAGUCAACUAACCAGGUUAGUUAGCCCUAACUAACUUAGUUAGCCGGGCGGGGCCCGCAUGUCAGUGGCCUAUCUAAUUAGCUAACUUAAUUAACGCUAACUAAUCUGACCCUAAUCAAGCAGGCGCCUGGGCCCACACGUCAGGGGGUCAAACCCCGGGUCAAACCCGCCGGAGUUGACCCGCGGCUUGUUGCCGGCGACGCCAGCAACGGCGGAGGGCGUCGGAAACGCUCCUUCGGCGACCAAAUCGGCGACUGAGGGGCCCUACGCGUAGCUGGGAGUCGCCCGCAUCCAUCUGUGCAAACGGCAGGGGCUGAGGUGGCCCGAGCUCACCGGAACGGGGCCUGCGGCGGCGACCGGAGUUCGGGCCAGCACGGGCACUGGCUACGCUUGGCGAGCGAGUGAGCUGAGAGGCUGGACGGGCUCCUGGGAGAUCCACGAGCUCGAGGUCGUGCUCGGACGCGAGUUCGGUGACCUGCAACGACGGCGGCGACAGGCGUGACGGCGGUGAGCUUCCGCCGCGGUGGCCAGGGGGGAUAGAGGAGGAAUUCAACGGCGGGGAGAGAGGGGUUGGGAGCAGGAGCUCACAGCGGGUGCAGCGGUGGCCUCGGCGAGCUCGGGGAGGCACCGGAGCUCGCGAAUCCUCGAAAGUUCGCCGGCGGCCGAAGUUUGGGGGCGAGCUUGAGGGCGACGCUGCAGGGCUUCCGGAGGGCCGUGGAUCGGUGGAGAGGGAAGAGGGGGUCGAGGCGGAGCCUCUGGGCUAGUCGGGGGAGCGAGGGAGGCCCGGUGGCCGUGGUUAUGGCGAGCGGCGGCGACGGGCUCCGCUCGGUGAGGNNNNNNNNNNNNNNNNNNNNNNNNNNNNNNNNNNNNNNNNNNNNNNNNNNNNNNNNNNNNNNNNNNNNNNNNNNNNNNNNNNNNNNNNNNNNNNNNNNNNNNNNNNNNNNNNNNNNNNNNNNNNNNNNNNNNNNNNNNNNNNNNNNNNNNNNNNNNNNNNNNNNNNNNNNNNNNNNNNNNNNNNNNNNNNNNNNNNNNNNNNNNNNNNNNNNNNNNNNNNNNNNNNNNNNNNNNNNNNNNNNNNNNNNNNNNNNNNNNNNNNNNNNNNNNNNNNNNNNNNNNNNNNNNNNNNNNNNNNNNNNNNNNNNNNNNNNNNNNNNNNNNNNNNNNNNNNNNNNNNNNNNNNNNNNNNNNNNNNNNNNNNNNNNNNNNNNNNNNNNNNNNNNNNNNNNNNNNNNNNNNNNNNNNNNNNNNNNNNNNNNNNNNNNNNNNNNNNNNNNNNNNNNNNNNNNNNNNNNNNNNNNNNNNNNNNNNNNNNNNNNNNNNNNNNNNNNNNNNNNNNNNNNNNNNNNNNNNNNNNNNNNNNNNNNNNNNNNNNNNNNNNNNNNNNNNNNNNNNNNNNNNNNNNNNNNNNNNNNNNNNNNNNNNNNNNNNNNNNNNNNNNNNNNNNNNNNNNNNNNNNNNNNNNNNNNNNNNNNNNNNNNNNNNNNNNNNNNNNNNNNNNNNNNNNNNNNNNNNNNNNNNNNNNNNNNNNNNNNNNNNNNNNNNNNNNNNNNNNNNNNNNNNNNNNNNNNNNNNNNNNNNNNNNNNNNNNNNNNNNNNNNNNNNNNNNNNNNNNNNNNNNNNNNNNNNNNNNNNNNNNNNNNNNNNNNNNNNNNNNNNNNNNNNNNNNNNNNNNNNNNNNNNNNNNNNNNNNNNNNNNNNNNNNNNNNNNNNNNNNNNNNNNNNNNNNGGCUACAGGUAAGUGGCCCAGGUAGGCUUCUGUUCUUUUUAUUUUUUUCUUCUGUUUUGUUUUAUUUAAACUUUUGCCACUGUUUUGAAUUAAAAAAUAAUAAUUCAAACAAUGCCAAAAACUCCUCUGAAUAUUUUAUAUUGCUAGAUGGACUUUUCCAAAAGCUUAUAAAUAUUUCAGGGGUAUUUGAAAUUAUAUUCUAAUUAUAUGAAUAUAAUUCAAAUUCAAAUAGCUAAUGAAUUAAAUCCAAAGUCCCAAAAAUAAAUCCUUAAAAAUGUUCAAUAUUUUGGUUGGGACCAGAACCCUUACCAAAAAUUAUCAAACAUUUAAGAAGAGCAUUUUGGAGCAAUGAAUGAGAUUUCUAGGGUUUUUGCCCCUCUUUUAUUUAAGGUUUUUGAGGCUUCCAAUAUUCCUCAAUUCAAGUUUCAGAAUUUAAACAUGAUGCACACAUGAAGCUAGCCUAGAGCAUUACCAGAAGCUAGGGAUGUGACAGCGCUACUCCCAGCUGCAGUGCAUGGGGACCCGCAGGACCAAGCUCUUCGUCACCCAAGGCCUCCCGUGGCCACGGCGGGCUGCCGCGCCUUCACCGCCGAGCUGCGCAGCGUCGCGUGGCCCGGCAAGUUCAAGCCAGACCUGCCUCCUCGCUAUGACGGUACGGCUGACUCCGCAGAGUUCCUCCAGCUCUACGAGCUGGGCAUCGAAGCUGCCAACGGAGACGAGAAGGUCAUGGCGAACUGGUUUCCCAUGGCGCUCAAGGACGGGUCCCGCACCUGGCUCCUGAACCUGGCUCCAGGCACGAUCUCCUCCUGGGAUGAGAUGCGCACCCGCUUCAUCGCCAACUUCCAGGGUACUCGCGACCGGCCACCCGCCGUGAGCGUCAUGUGCCGUAUCAAGCAGCAACCAGGGGAAACCCUGCAGAAGUACAUCCAGCGUUUCAACAACGCGCGCCUCAAGAUCCCCAAGGUGACCGAGGAGGCCAUCAUCUCAGCCUUCUCCGACGGCGUGCGCGACGUCAAAAUGAAGGAGGAGCUGGUGAUGCAUGAAGACUUGUGCACUUCCUUGGAGCUGUUCAACCUGGUGACCAAGUGCGCUAGGGAUGAGGAAGGGUGUCUCUCCCUCCUCGAGCUGCCUGCCGCAGACCCGGAAGAGAAGAAACCCAAGGCCAAGGAUGUGAAGCGCAAGGGGGCUGCCGUGCUCGCAGCAGAACCAGACACCAAGCGGGACAGAGAUCAGCCCAAAUCUUCCAAGGGCAGUCGGUACUGCGUGUACCACGACCUCCGCACCCACAACACCAAUGAAUGCCAAGAACUCCGAGCCGUGCGUGAAGGAAGGAUCGGCCGACGUCCCGACCGCAGCGACCGGGGCUACGGUCGAGGAGGAGGAAGGAAUGCAGGACGCUGGGUAGACCGUGGCCCUCGCCAAGGGUGGCGCGACCAACCUCGCGAGGAUCGCUGGCAGGGCCCACCUCGCGAGGAAGACUGGAGGGAUCAGCCUCGCGAGGAUCGCUCGCAAGGCAACACAGGCCUCCCUCCACUGCCGCCGCAGCCAAGGAAAAAUGAGGACCGUCAUCAGGACGAGGGGGCUGGGGGCUUCCAGGAGCCACGUGCGAUCUCCUGCAUCCUGGGGGGAGCUCAAGCCCCAGCCUCUCAACGCAUCUUCAAGCAGUUCGCCCGCGAAGUAAAUGCAGUCCUCCCCAAGCUCGGGGCCACGCGCCCUCUCAGGUGGUCGGCGUGCUCCAUCAUGUUUAGCUCAGCGGAUCAGCUCAAGUGCGCGGCCACAGCCGGAGUCCUCCCAAUGCUUUGUUCUCCAAUCAUCAGCAACGUGCUAGUCACCAGGACCCUCAUCGAUGGCGGGGCAGGGCUCAACGUCCCAUCCGUGGAAACAUUCAACAAUCUCCAAGUGCCCUACAAUCAGCUUCAGCCAACCAAGCCUUUCUCCAGAGUCACCGACGGUUCCACGGCCCCGAUUGGGCAGGUCCGCUUCCCUGUCACCUUCGGGGCGCACGGCAACUACCGCACCGAGCUCAUCGACUUCGACGUCGCCCACAUUUGCCUGCCAUACAACGCCAUCCUCGGGUACCCAGUGCUGGCCAAGUUCAUGGCCGUAACCCGCCACGGCUACAACGUCCUCAAGAUGCCAGGAAGUGGCGGAGUCAUCAUGGUGCCCUGCAAAGAGAAAGACACGGUGUGCUCCCUGGAACGAGCCUUUUAGGCCGCAUCACUGGAAGACCCGGAUCGCGGAAGUAGGAGGCUUCUCGAGACCGCCCCCAAGAAGAAGAAGACAUCGUCUGGCCCGACCCCUCAGGAGACAGGCCCCUCAGGGCCCGCGUCUGCCCAGGGGGUCCUUCCAUCGCAUAGGGAAGCGCGCCCGACGCCCUCCUCAGGCAGGGAUCGAGGGCUCUCCCCUGGAGGGCCGCCGACCUUGCCAAGGUCACGAGGGAGGCGCUUGGGCACCACUUGGAGGCGUGUUUCGAAGCACGUUUCCCUCAAGAAGAAGCAAGGCAAGGAGGGCCAAACCCUCAGGAGUUCGUCAGCAAGGCCAUUCAGGAGCUACAGGAGUCAAGAGUCAUGAGAGGCAGCCGCUGCUUACCCGCUGUGGCCCCCCAUCCAGGCGAGGAUGGUGGGCUGCACGUCUGCAUCGACAUACCAGGGCUCAACCAAGCCGCCUCUCAGGAGCGCCUCUGGCCCUCGCAAGUGGGGCGCUGCGAAGGUCCACCCCGCAUCUACGUUCGCAUGCCUUAUGGCUUGCCGAACGCGGCUGCCACGUACCAUCGCCUCAUGAGGGGCAUCCUGGAGGCUCAAGAGGCCAGGCGUUCCGCAACCCUAGUGGAGAUGGAGAUGGUCCGCGAGGAGCCACCAGCGCCUCCGGAGCCUCCCGAGGCCCCUGGGCCUGGGGGCUCGUGAGGAUCGGCUCCCACAGCCCAUCGAGUCUGCUACACCAACACCCCUUCGUCGUCAACACUAUUAGGUGACAUCUUUCAAGUUUCAUUUCCAGCUGGGAGCGCCCUCAGGGCUGCAUCAUUCCCAGGCCGCGUGGGUCCGUCCCUGCGGUGUGUAUCCCUUUUGCUCGUGUUUUUAGCUUACUUUGUUGGGGGCGCCCCUCGGGCUGCAUCAUCCCCAAGUUGCUCGGGUCAGACCCAGCGGCGUGUACCCCUUUUGCAUUUAUCUCCGGGCCAUGCUUUCGACCCAUCAUACUUGUUAUUUGGUGCCUGUCCGUGGCACCUUUUCUUCCUUGAUGUCAGCAGCUUGCGCGUUAAAGGGGGGUACCUGAGCAUCAUGACUCAGGGCUCCUACUGGCUCUCCAGCCCUCACCCUCUGGCCUUGUCCACGGCAUCGCGACCUGGCAUACCAGCGACGGCUGAGACCAGCUCGAGGGCCGGGACCCGAGGACGUAGAGCUUCGACAUCUAACCAAGCUUGCGCGUUAAAGGGGGGGUACCUGAGCAUCGCGACUCAGGGCUCCUACCGGCUCUCCAGCCCUCACCCUCUGGCCUUGUCCACGGCAUCGCGACCUGGCAUACCAGCGACGGCUGAGACCAGCUCGAGGACCGGGACCCGAGGAUGUAGAGCUUCGACAUCUAACCAAAUUUGCAGGAACACACCCCAAGAUAAGGCCCAGUGCCAGGCGCAACCCGCCUUGAGGUAGGGCCCCAUGAGUCCCACGCUGGCUCACGGGUGCCCAGAUACACCUCAUCAGGCCCUACCGUGCCAGCCACGUGUCAGGGCGGGGUUGUACACGCCCCUGGGGCUCCUCUCGAAGGGGAGCCCCCUCCCACGCACUAGUGGAAGCACCAUGCUCUGCGCUGGCUGACGACACUGCCGAGGAGCGGCUAUGCCCGUACACAUACAGAAGCGCUAUGCUCCGCGCUGGUGAUAAAUAACUGAGGGUGGCCCCCGGGCCGCAUCAACCUCAGGGAGCCCAGAGCUCAGUGUCUAGCCUCAUCGCAAUGCCUCCCCUCGGGAGUGCCGCGCGAGGGGGCUGGGCACGGGGGCUGCGCCUGGGUCACGCCCAGAUGCACACCACCCAGCCAGGCCCCCGGGCCUGGUUCGUCGCGCGUCCCUCCCCGAGUGGAGCCAAGGAAUGAAGGCCGUUUGAGCGUCAAGGGGGACUCCUGAGCAUCGCGACUCAGGAGCCUAACUGGUCACGUAGCCCCUCACUCCUUAGUUCCGAAAGGCUAACGGCGGUUGAGGUAUGCGCGGGGCCGGGCUCUGCAGACAUAGAACGGUAGAUCCACCCACAUCUCACCUCCCUAAGGAGUCACCCCCACAUCUCACUUCCCUACUUGCUGUUCGAGCGCCAAGGGGGACUCCUGAGCAUCGCGACUCAGGAGCCUAACUUGUCACGUAGCCCCUCACUCCUUGGUCCCGUCCUGGUUUCCGGUCGGGGCUAACAGCGGCUGAGGUAUGCGCGGGGCCGGGCUCUGCCGGCGUAGAACAUAAGCAAGUAGGAAGGAAAUAGCACAAAUUUCAAGGAAUUCAAAAGCAAAUAUUACAGUCCAUACUGUUAUCACAGCACCAAAUGCAAGUUUUAACGCCUCCCCGAGGCAUGGUACAUGUGCAGGAAUUAAAAGCAGGACGGGAGCCGCAACGGAGUCACUUGUCGGCGAUGGAGCUGCGCGGAGCGGGUUCGCCUUGUGGAGCUGCAGGGCCGGCAGCGCCCCGCUUCGGCUUGGUGCUGAAGGCCCGGAACUUCCCCAGCAGAGCCUCCACGCGACCCUUCAUGGCCUCAGUGGCGGCAGCGGCAAGCUUGCCGCUUGCUGGCUCCAGCAGGCUGUCGAGGUCGAUGUUGGGGUCACGAAGAUAGAUGUGGGUAAGGACCCGCGUCAGCGCUACAGAACACAAGAUGCGCGCCUCGGCCUCGACCGUAGGGCCAAGGCCAAGGGUGACGUCUUCAAGAGCACGAACCAGGAAGGGAAGCAGCUUGGCGGGGCCGUCCUCGGCACCGGCCAGCAGGCUCUCCAGGCCGCUGUCAUAAAGCGUCUUCAGCGAAGUGCGAGCCUUCUCCUCCAUCUCCGCGAAGGCCACGCGAUCCUCGGCAAGAACCCGUGCCUUGCCGUCUAGCUCGACCUUCCUCGCCUCCAACUCUUGCUCCAGCGCGCCUAGGCAGUCACGGCGCUUCUUGAGCUUGGCGUCCCGGUCCUUGACGGCCGCCUCGUGAGCCUUCAUGCCUUCCUCCUGCUCUUGGCGAAUGCGGGUCUCCUCGGCGAGCUGGUCCCGCAGGCCCUGCAGCUCGCUCUCCAGCGCCUUGCAGCGACCUCGGACAUUAGCCACCUCCCCCAAGGCGGCAUCGCGAGCAGCCUUCGCCCCAAGGACGGCCUGCUUCUCCUCAUCGCAAGUCGUCGAGGCCUGGACCAGUGCCGCCCGAAUCGAAGCGUCGGAGCGAAUCCAGCCGGAAGCCAGCUCCAAGCGCCCGACCACUAAACGAGGGUCGGCGCCCAGAAGAUCCUGCCGCAGACGGUCCAGUUCGGUGGCAGCACGAUCCAGAAUAGUAGGAGGAGUCGGGGAAACAUCAGUCGGUGGAGUAGGAGGAGAAGACGGCAGCGUGACCACAGUAUCCUGAGGUGGAUCCUGCUGCACCCCAACGACCGUGGUGGCGGCAUCAGGCAAGGGAACCUCAGGAGUCGCUUGGGCCGUGGGGGCUGAGCUCGCCCCGGCCGGCUCAGCCAGGCCUCGCGAGGACGCCCGGGCAGGAGAGUCCCAUGCGUCAUAGUCACCUUCUUUCGCGGGCAGAGGCGCUGCCCUGGAUGGAACCUCAGGAGCUCCGUUCGACUUCUUUGCCGCGGGCGCCAGCCUAGCCGGAAGAUACGAAUAUCAAGCCUCAGCAACAGAACAAGAAAUAAGACAGGAGUCAAGCACUUACAGGUCGUCGCUCGCGAGCUCUAGCAGCCUCCGGCCGUACUUGAAGCCCGAGAGCCGGCUGCAAGGAUCAGCCUCAAGGAGCUCGGGAGCAGGAGGCGCGUCCGCGGAUCGCCUCGGGGCCGGGGCAGACCCGCGGGGGAUCAGCCCGGUCUGGUCCUUCUUCGGGAUCGGGGGCAGGCUCCCGCCGCCUUGCUCGUCAUCAUCCUCGUCGUCAUCACUCAGAGAGAGGCGGAGAGCGCGGGACCUGCGCCGAAGGGGGGGAGCCCUUGACUCUCCGUCGGUCGCCUCGGAGUCAGGCAAUUUUUCCCGCUCCCCUUCUUCCUUCUCCUCGCUGGAGUCGCCGGAGGACACAUCCACUGGGUCCUCGGGAGCCUCCGCGAGCACGGGCCCGUCCCCGUUGAAGACGGGCAUGGACUCCACUACCUGCUCCCAGUCCUCGCGGAGGAACAGGGGCAUAGGAGCGCCCUCCAACCUCGCCACGUCGCCCCCGACCAAAGACUGGAGGACCGCAGCCAGAUCCUCGCCGGCCAAGACCACGGGGCUCGGGUGGGGCCUCCACAUCGGAAGUGAGUACGGACGAAGCGGAGCCAGCUGGUGCUCCAGGAACUCCCUCAGCAGCGAUGCGCCAGUCAGCUUCGCCACCGCCGUGUUGGCCGGCCUCAGAUCCGCGUCCAUCUUCUCCAACACCAGCCUCGCGUGGGGGUCCACAAGCUCCACUCGAGACCAGUCGUCGGAGCUCGAGGGAUGCCCCGUGGGCAAGAUCAGCCGAGGGUGGAUGCGCCCAGCAUCUACCAAGACCCACUUACUCCUGAAGCCCUCAAUCCUCUUCCCGGGGUUCGAAAUGGCGAUGGAGCUACCGUACGCGACGAAGCUCGCGCACGCAGAGAUGGGACCACGAGAGGUCCGGAGGGAGAAGUAGUGGCGCAGCAAGGCCACUGAGGGCUUCACCCCUACGUGAGCCUCGCAAUAGCAGGCGAAGAUUGCCAGAAGAAGGACAGAGUUGGGGUGGACAUGCAGAGCUUGUAGCUUGUAAUGGCGAAGGACAGAGAAGAACUCAGAAAAGGGAGGCACCAGACCAGCAACAAUGGCGCUCACAAAAAGCGGAUAGAAGGUGCUCCCUUGGCCCUCAGGGAGGGCGGAGCCGGCCUUGAACACCUUCGCCCCGUCGAUGCCCUGCGCCGCCACCAUCUGGCGCACCCGAGCAAGGCUCGCCUUCGACACGUUCGACGAGUCUAGGGCGGACGAAUACCAACUCCGGCCGGGGCCUGGCGAGGCACCAUGUCUUGCUAGGGCGCGCAGACGGAGUAGAUCUGAAGAUUUCAGAGGCAGGAAGGAGAGGCGCAAGAAAGGGGAUCUGAGCAGCUACCGGACAAAGCAAAGGAGGCAAAGCCUAGACAGAUGCCGCUCCUUUAUCAACUCGCGCGGUUGCUGAGGCGCCCACGUCCAAUCAACCGCCACGCGGCGCCCAAGGCCGCAGGCUGUUAGGGCCCGCGGCACUUCGCACUUGCCCCUUCGCCUCUUUGCUCGGCCAAGUCCGGGCGCGCCUUGGGCCCGGGGGCUAAUGUCGGUGUUCUGGAAACGGGGGUCCCCAGACUUGCCUGCCUGCGGCCUGCGGCGUGGCUCAAAGGGGGCCCAACACGGCCCAUCUUCAUCAACACAAGCUCAAGACCCUCGCGAGGGGCCAAGCCUCGCGGGGCGGACGACCAGGAGGUUCCUCAGGCACGGCCUCAUCAGGCUAGCUCGCGAGGAGGCGGAGAGAUCAAGGCGGGGUACCUCGCGAGGUGCCCAUGACGCAAGCCAUGACGACCAAGGGGGCCAGUCGGGCGCCAGCCCGCGCAGUGUCCUCCUUUCCUCUUUGGUGCAAAGGGAGCAAGCGCAGGCGAGAGCAUCAAGCAAAGGCAUCCAUUUCGGUGCAACAAGACCAAGACCAGCCCAACGGCAGGGAGGAAGUCAUUGUGGAGCCCAAGCAGGCGUCACCACCAGAGCCUUUGACAGGCGAGGACCAACUUUAGUCAGGAUAAGUGUACCCGAUGUUCCCCUUCAAAAUGGCCAAUUGUUGGCGCCCUUCCCACUCAAUAUUUGGGGAGAGGCCCAGGGCCUUUGCCUAUAAAUAGGACUAGCCACCCCCAGGUAGAGAGAGCGAGCAGCUAGCAUCGAGCAUCGAGAAUCCACAAGAUAGACAUGAUCCUCACCAGAAAACCAGUAGAGAGAGCGACUGCACUCCUCCUAGAAGUUCAUCGCACCAGCCAAGAACAGACCCUCGCGAGGCUGUUCUUCCUUGUAUUGUUCAUCAACAGCCCAAGAGGCAAUCCACCACACCACACACUGGUGUAGGGUAUUACACCGCGAUGGUGGCCUGAACCAGUAUAAACUCUGUGUCUCUUGUGUUGUUCCUUCCGUAGUUUAGAUCCUAGCGAGUCGGCGAGGGGCAGGUAGGUAGAGGGCGAAAUCUCGCGCGCACCCCAGUGUUCGAACCUCAAGGGUCUGCCGAAACCCGAAAUCCGACAUGGUUAGUUGCACAGUAAUUCGUGGUACCUGUCUUCAGUUGCAGAUAUGUCAUUCAUGGGGGGGGGGUAGGAUGGUGUGAUGUGCCAGAUUCACCUCUUUUUUGAAGCAGCUUCUCCAUGGAUUUGUGCUAGAUCAAUGGAGAAGGGGGUUUACAUAUGCCUACAUAUAUGCAGUAGAAGAAAGGGAGAAGUGAAGAGGGGCAGAGGGGGCUUACCUACUUGAUGUUGCUGCCUGGUAUGGCUCUGACCACCCCGCUCUUAGAUCUUCUUUUUUGAAGCAGCUCCUUCUUCUACUUUGGGGCUCCCAUGGCGGCUGUGUAGGAGGAGGAAGAAGGGUUGGGGGCGAUUCUGUUGGAUCUCCUUCUGGCAUGCAGAAGAAGAAGAAGGCAGCGUGGGAGGGGCUGGGGCGUGGGGGCGAGCGGGCGUGGGGGCGAACUGGGGACAACUGGCCACGUGGGGGAGGGUGGUGGUGGUGGUGGGCGAUUCUGUUGAUGGCCGCUCGAUCGGUCAGUUUGGUGGCCGUUCGAUCGGUCGGUUUGGUGACCCCUUCCUUUUCUGUUCCGCGGGGGACAAGGGGUUACCCUUUUCGGCCGGCCGCUCGAUUGCAUUAGUGGGCAGCCGCCCGCCCACUAGACGCGUCCAAAAAAAUAUACGCACCACGCACACGCAGCCAGAUGCACGAGAGACCCCGACGCCCAGCCGCCCCGCAACCGCCUUCGCCUGCCUCGCCGGUUCGCUACCAUGGCCGGUCCCAGCCGACCAGCCACCCAAGAGGCUCCUCCGCUCAUGUUUCUCCGUGGCGCCCGCGGCUUGCCCGGCGCUCGGCACCAGCAGCGCCACCGCCCCUGGCUGCGACCCUGCCCUGCCCCGGCCGCUUGGCUCCCCUGCAAGCCGGCGGCAGCCGCCCAUUCCACACUCCGGUACUCGGAUAGGCCUGAUUUGUGGUACAAUUCCCCAAUUGCCCAUUUUUUAUUUAACCAUUUAGGGUUCACUAUUCGUUGUGUUGUGCACUGUCCAGUACUCCUACAAUACAUGAGCAUGAACGAACACACACAUAAUUUAACAUUUUAGCACAUCAUUUAUGUUCAAUUGUGUCAAUAUGAUUGAUGUGAAGUAAUUUUUAUUGCCAAAUUUAUUGAAGUAUAAAGAGGACUGGAGAUAUUUCAAAACUUUUUCACAUACAUGCUAUGAAGAACUGAAGAUGGUACAUUGAGCUGGAUGUUUUUUGAGGUAACAUAGUCUUCUUCCUUUCUUGACAUGAACAUUGUCCUUUUAAAUUCUCUAGGUAGAAGACUAUGUAGGCGUUGGAUGAGUGAUAGUCUUUCUAAGUUAAUAGAACCGGAUAGUCUUUUUAACUUAAAAAGGCUAUCCGACUAUGAAGAACAAUGAUGUACUAUGUAGGCUACUUUUAUGAAAAAUGAGACAUGAAUGAGAAUUUUAGUGUGUUUGCACUAUGUUGACACCGAUUUUGGCCAAAAGUAAAAUAUGGCGCAUAGAUAUUAUUCAAAUAAAAUCAUGUACAUAAAAUGAUAAAACAAAAAAAAAGUGAACCGCCGAAUACACGGAUAAAAAUACAAUGAUUAAAUAAAAGAUCCGAAAAUAAAAGAGAAGAAAAUGAGCCAUAUCGUCGUAUAAAUUAGAGGACAUAUGACUUUCAUACACAUACGCCAUCAUCAACGGCGAAAUUCCAAUGUUGACGCAAAUUUAAAGUUUCAUAGGCGACGCGAAUAUUGCCAAAAUGUUAUAUCAUAUUUGCGAGUUCUGUCACCGCUAAAAAAUAAAUAUUGGCACAAUAAUGUUCGCAUAAAAUAAUAUAAAAUGCGCGACAAUGUAUAAAAAAAAUGUUAAGCCAUCAUGAAUUAUCGGUGAAAAAAUGCUUCCCCAUGUCUUUAAGAUAAAUCUGACCAAGUGCAAUUAUAUGAAAUGGACACGUACAUGCAUGGGUGCAUGUAAUGCAUGUACGAGCUACGUGCAUGCAUGUGAUUAUAUUUUUUUUUUGAGGGGAAAAAAAAAUAUAAUUAGACGGCAAGAUUAAGAAAUAAUGAGUAAGUACCCAGCCCAUGGCCCAUAUAGCAACGUCCUCCCCUGUGGCAUGCAUGCAUGGGAGCUCCUAGUCAGCGCUGCAGGCGCCCGUUAACGAGCUGGCGCCUGCAGCGUUGCUGGCAUGGGCCGGCCCAACGCGCGUUUGCAGUGGGAAUUGUUCGCUUUUGAAGUAAAAAAGCAAUAAAACAUGAGGAUAGCUAGGGAUUCGAACUCUGGAUCGCUUUGUUGCGAGUGCACCACACUAACCACCAGAACAAACUAACUUUGUUGUCUUCUACAAGAAAACAGUCCUAGUUAACCUUUUCGUGCAGUAAAACGUUAAUAUAUACUCAAUAUAAAUUAUCCCAAAAAAGAAAACGUAAAUUCGAAAAAAAGUUCAUCAAAUUUUAAGCAAAGUUCAAAAAAUGAAAAAGCUUCAUCGAUUUUGAAGAAAAAGUACAUUGAAUUCGAAAAAAAUUCACCAAAUUCGAAGAAAAGUUCAUCGGAUUCGAAAAAAAGUUCAUCGAAUUCAAAAAAAAGUUCAUCGCAUUUAAAAAAAGUUCAUCAAAUUUGAAAAAAGUUCAUCAAAUUUUAAAAAAGUUCAUCGAAUUCAGAAAAAGUUCGCCAAAUUUGAAAAAAGUUCAUGUAAUCUGGAAAAAGUUCAUCGAAUUUGAAUAAAGUUCAUGUGAUCUGAAAAAGUAAAACGAUUUAAAAAAGCAUGACAUUCUUUUAAAAACUCACGCAUUAAAAUAGCAAAAAAAGAAAGAAAAAAAGGGAAAAACGAAUAAAACCAUCAAGAAUUCGUGAAGCAGAAAAAACAAAAUAAAAAGAAAGAGCGACUGAACUUAGCACACAACAAGCGCGAUGUCGUAGUGGUUGGAGCGCAGCCAUCGUAAGGAGUCCGGCGUGGGUUUUUUUCCGCAAAACUAAGUGGGCCGGCCCAGCUUGGACUGCUGCAGGCGCCCGUUUGCAAAUUGCACUGUAACGGGCGCGUGCAGCGCUAAAUAGGAAAACCCUGCAUGCAUGCAUUAAGCACUAAUUAGACCAAAGGCCCAUACGUGAGUCAAGGGAGGCAUGAAAGAAGAAAGGCCAUACAUGCAUGCAAUUAGAGCCUAGUUAUGUAAUCAAGAGAUAAGAGAAGGAUGUUACCACAGGCCUCCUGAGAGCUCAGUGAUUCUGGGCCGUUGGAUGCGAUUUCUGGAUGCGUUCUCGUCCGUUGGAUCAAGAUAUGGAUGAACCUGCGCCGUCGGAUCGGAAAAAACUACUGCUGAAAUGAACAGUAUCUCCCUGUAACGCCUCCCCCGCACGUUUUUUACCGCCUUUUUUCGUUCUUGGGUCGCUGGCGUGUGGGUCCGUUCGCGGGCGGGCCUACGUUGUCAGCGACCGCGGCUUGGUCCCGGCCCGGUCGCCCCGUCGCGCGCGUCGGCGGGGGAAAGAUCUCGUGCCACCGCACGUAAAAUCCUGCCCCCGCCGAGGGUGUUUCGGUCUUUUCGCUCCCGGGGGUCGUGCGUGGCGUGCGGUGGUUUGCUCGUCCGGCUAUGGGGUGGGGGAGGGCAGCGACCCACCCUUUCGUGCUCUCAUUCGUCCCUCUCGUCUCCCUCUUUCUGGAUCUCGUCCUCUCUCGUCGCCGGCGCUUCUCCUUCUCGAUUCGACGCCGUCCUUCAGGUGGUUUCCCACCCUACCCCGCGCUCGCCUCCCUACCCAGGCGCCGUCAUCUCCUUCGCCGCCGGGAGCUCGACCGGGAUGCCUGCUCACGCUCACGGAGGCCGAGGCGGCUGGGCUGCUCUGGUUUGCGCGGCCGCCUCGGCCUCGGACUGAGAGGGCGGGCGAACGACGGGAUGAUGGUGGAGGCAGCCGACCGACGGACGGACUCACCGCUCCUCGGGGCCAGCCCCUCCCCUCCCCCGCACCGGACCGUGCAUCGGCUUGGAGGCCCCUCGGGGCCGCCGCCGCUGCGGGAGCCGUCCGCGGCCGUGCGGGCUGGGGACCGAGCGGCGGGUUUCGAUUGAGGGCUUGGCCGGGCCGGCGCGGGAUCUGAUCUGAGCCGCCGUCCAUGGAUUUCUCGCAGCUUGGCUGCAUCUUGCUUAGGAUUUGGUACUACCUCCGUCCUGUCCUGGUUAGUGCUCCCCUGCAUACUCCCUCCCUCUCUCUCUCCCUCGGUGUGGACGCCCGCACCUGAACCCAAACCCUAACCCGAAUCAGGCGAGCGCUCGUUGCCGGAUCGCUGAACCAUCCUCCCGGUGGCCGCCGCGUCAGUUCCGCACCGCUACAGCGCCGCCAGCCGCCGCCGCUCCAUUGGCUUGGAUUUGGUUGCGGCGUGGGCUUGGAACCGUACGGUGUUUGUGGUCUGAUGCGUGUUCCGCGCUGGGAGGUUUGGUCGGCUGACGCCAGGUAUGAGCAGCUCCUGAGCCUGAUCGCUCCAUGCGUGCACGCAUGCAUGAAUGUGAUGUGUACUCCCUCUGUAAAGAAAUAUCAUGGUCAUGUUGCUUGGUGUGCAACCUCUUUCUCAUCAGAGAAAAUAGUGGCGGAGCUAUGAUGAAGAUUGUUGCUGAAAUAAUCAUUGUCUUGAGCAAUCAAGACACUGGUGCUGGUGGUGGUGGAUACUAAGCAUCUACAGCCGGACUUGCUGACUGACCCAUCAUUUCGGUGGCCGCCCUCUCAAUCCCGUCGCUAUGGUGCCGCCAGCCACCGACAUUCCAUUGCCUUGGAUCCGGUUGUGGCGUGGGCUGGGAACCGCACGGUCUUAUCUGAGAGGUGUGCUCCGAGCUGGAGGUUUGGUUGGUUGAGGCCAGGUAUGAGCAGCUCCUCAGACUGAUGGAUGGAUGGCCACCACGGAGGUGACAGCAGGUGAAGCGUGGACUCCUUCGGGUUGUUGUAGUCAGUGAGGCUGCGGCCAUCGUCCAGCUGCUUACCAGCAAAGAUAAGGCCCUGCUGGUCAGGGCGGAUGCCCUCCUUGUCCUUGAUCUUGGCCUUGACAUUGUCAAUGGUGUCAGAACUCUCAACCCGAGUGACGUAUGCAUGCAUGCAUGUGUGUACCAUGCUGCGGCCGAAAUCAGUGUUUUGACCCUUUUUGGAAAAGCUCAGCACAAAAUGAACCAUGUUGGAAUAAGAGACGAGUGGAUGCCGGAGGCUCCUCAGCGAUCGCGGUUCUCAGCCGUUGGAUCGGGCCGCUUGAUGCGUUUUCGUCCGUUGGAUCGACAUCUGGAGGAAUCUGCGCCGUCGGAUCGAAAUCGGAUCGAAAAAAUCUACUGCUGGCGCCUCCCCCCGCUCGUUUUUACUUCGUUUUUACCGUUCUGAAGUCGCUGACGUGUGGGUCCGUUCGCGGGUGGGCCUCCGUUGUCAGCGACCGUGGCUUGGUUCCGGUCCGGUCGCCCCGUCGCGCGCGUCGGCGGGGGAAAGAUCUCAUGCCACCGCAUGUAAAAUCCUGCCCCCGCCGAGGGUGUUUCGGUCUUUUCGCUCCCGGGGGUCGUGCGUGGCGUGCGGUGGUUUGCUCGUCCGGCUAUGGGGUGGGGGAGGGCAGCGACCCACCCUUUCGUCCUCUCAUUCGUCCCUCUCGUCUCCCUCUUUCUGGAUCUCGUUCUCUCUCGUCGCCGGCGCUUCUCCUUCUCGAUUCGACACCGUCCUUCGGGUGGUUUCCCACCCUACCUUUUGGGUGAACCAUGUUGGAAACUUAUCUGGGGCGAUGAUGAUAAAAUUUGGCUGACAUAAACUUUUCUUCGAUUAUUCGAGGAGCUAUGGGCAUAAAAAACCCACUCCCCCCUCUUUUCGAACCUUUUCAUUCUCACUGAAUAUUGACGGCUCUCUCUUGGAUGGUCAUUCUGUUGAGUGAUAACCAGAGGAGCUCGACUUCAUUGGUGGGGGUUGAUCUGGUGAAAGAAGAUGGUGGAGCUAGGUUGUAUGAUAUAUCAAAGGCGAAUCUGAGCCCUCUCAAAUCUCAAUGCAACUAAUAUUGUGCCUUCUACACAUUUAUUUAUUCUUAUCGCCUUUUGAUGUUUAGAAGUGAUGAAUUGUCACGGUUCUGGCAUUUGCUAUCUCAUUAGGAGCAGAUACACGCAAAUCACCUCUUGUGGUGUUUGGUUUGCCUUCUCGUGAUUUUGUUGUCCAUUGUGGGAGCCAGUUUGGUGCAUUCGGGCUUUUUCUUUUCUGUUCUUACUUUUCCUUGAAUGGUUGUGAUAAUUCUGCUGUCUCUUGGAUAGUUUUUGGGGUUACCUUAUUGGGGUCGGGGUCAGUUUGCUUGUUUCAUUUGCUAUUUGACUUUUGAUAAUCUCAUUCUUCUACUAUAUUCUUUAUCUACUUAUCAAUUUGUACUUUUGGUUACUCCUCACUUCUUUACUGGUUUCAACUUAAGGGUCAUAUAGGGUGUUUAGAUGUCAAGAUUAUGGUUUCUUUCAUGUCAUGUUCAUGAAUGGCUGUGAUGAUAUAGCUUCUCUGUGAGAGCUUCUAUCUAACACCUGAAUUGAUUCAGUUGGUGCUAAACUAGGAUGGUUUGUGUCAUAGCAAUUAACCAGUUUAACUGGGGCGAUGAUGAUAAAACAUGGCUGACAUAAACUUGUCUUCGAUUAUUCUGAGUAAAAAUGAUAGUUUCCUCAACAAAAUUUUAACUGAUCUUUCCCUUUUUGGGAAUUUGUGUUCUUGCUCACUAGCAUCCAUGUAAAAUCAUGUUCUGGUGGAUGCAAAGGACUGUUUUGCAAGUUAGUAUCAUUUUGUUGGUUUUGCAGUAUGUCAACCAGUUCUGUUGUUUUAGGAACAGUACUCCAGCCGUACUUAUUCUUGUCUUCCGUUCUUUUGUUUCUGUUCUUCCUUAUUCUUGAAAGGCUAUGAUAAUUCUGCUGUCCCUUGGAUAGUUUUUGAAACCAUUUUAUUUGGUGCUGGGUCAGUUUGCUUCUAUUUGACUUGACAAUUUCAUCCUUCUUUUCUAUUCUUUAUCUACUUAUCAGUUUGUACUUUUGGUUACUCUUUACUAAGUUAUUGGCUUCAACUUAAGGGUUGUAUAGGGCAAGUUCAGAUGUCAAGAUUACUGUUUCUUUCGUGUCAUGUUCAUGAAUGGCUGUGAUGAUAUAGCUUCCCCGUGAGAGCUUCUAUCAAACACCUGAAUUGAUUCAAUUGGUGCUAAACUAGGAUGGAUCGUGUCACAACAAGUAACCAGUUUAGCGGCUAAUUAUUACUCCCUCCGUUCACAAAUAUAAGAUGUUCAUGGUUAUUCUACCAGAAGUUCAGUUAUGGCGUCGAGAUGGGGUAUAUCUGAGCCAUUUACUUGUGCAUGUCCCAGUUUUUGUGUCCACCAGAUCAUGAUUUGCUCCUGAUAUAGUGAUUCUUUCUGCUUUCACCGAUUCUUGUGUGGUUUCUGGUCAUCUUUUGUUCUUUGAGAAUUGGCUUCUCUCUGUUACUCUUUUUGUGGGAUUGCGCCAAGUGUUGUUGAUGGCAAUGAUGAGCAAGGCUCAUUCAGAGGUGUACUGUGAUCAGAUACCAUCGCUUGUUUUUAUGGUAUGGGUUGGGGUUAGGGUUUUGUGUGACUAGGUGGAAGUGUGCAAAUCAGGACGGCUUGCUUUCGGUGAGCAACCAUUUGAAUGCUGAAAUGUCCACGGGUUUAAGGGCAUCUCCAACAUGGAUCACUAAACUUAUCGGAUACAGAGUGGCUAUAUGAUAGACGAGCCAACUCUGAGCCUCCCAUUUUUUUAAUUAAAUAUGACCUCUCUUUCUACAAUUUGUGGUUAUGUGCUUAUGUAUAUUUUUGAAUAUUAUUGGUUUGGUUCUUCUCAAUAUAUUAAUGAUUUAUAUAGCAGUAUUGGGAUCUCACUGUAGUAUAUGUUAUCAUCUACGACACUUAUGAGAUAGCUCAUAGCAAACAGGAUGUUGAGCUAUUUUAUGCUCAGAAUGCUUUGAAUUAGUAAAUGCAUCAAUAGGUUCUACUUUGUUUGAAUAAAAAACAAUCAUGUGUGCCGAGGGCCCGGGAAGCAAGCAGAGGGUUUCGCAUCUCUUGUUCAAACUAUGCUAUUAUUUGCAACUGUAUGUCCUUUGUUACUUGCAUGUUCUGUUUCUUUGCCCCAUUUAGUCGUUCCUGCAUUUUAUUCAUGGUUUUCUUCCUUUCAUACCUUUGUUGUCUUAUUGUAUAAAUUGUGCUACAUUGCUCUUUUUCAUUCAUGCAUUUGCUGCACUAUGGCACCUCAGCAAUAAGAUACAGUAUUACAUUUCGUCUUUGUUGUCUUCAAUAAGAUACUGUAUCUAUUUGGUUUUGAUUCUACCCAUUUAUUUUUGGUAUACAUGAUUUAUAGCAGUGUUGGGAUAUCGCUGAAAUAUAUGUUCUCAUCGACGACACGUAGAGUUAUGCUCAUAAAGAACUGGAUAUUGAGCUAUUUUACUCUUCCUGCACUAGCUGAUGCAUCAAUAGGCUCUACUUUGUUUCAAUUAAAAACAAUCCUGUGUGCCAAGGGCCCUUGGAAGAGGCAGAGGGCUUUGCAUCUUCGCUUAGCUUUCCCAUUGAGUCGUUGUGCAUUUUAUUCUGCGCAAGGUUUUCUUCUCUUAAUGUACAAAUUGUGCUACGUUUCUCGAGCAUCUGCAUCAGCAAAGAAUAUAUAUACGUACUAGAUUUUUGGUCUUUUAUGCCAUUAUAUAUUUAUUUAGUUUUGAAUCUGCCCUUUUAUUUUGCUACACGGUAUGUCCAUCUAAUCUGCAGCUCUCCCCCUAUUUCUAUUUUUGCCUCUUCUCUUCAUUGUAAAAAUUGUGCUACGUUCCCCUUUUUCAUUUUAUUUCCCUUGGACUCUAAAUACGUGCCCACAUCUGGGGAUUUCAGGUCGCCAUGGUCGCCGACCAGCUCCUUGAUCAGAACGCGAUGGCCGACGACGAGCUCCGUGAUCAGAUCACGCUGGCGCCCGAGAAACUCCCUGUUCCUAACCCAGCGCCUUCCGCCUGCUCCACCAACAACUGUCUGCGGGGGCUUGCACAGGUGAGCUGACACCCGUCACAUCCCCCCUCUGAUUUUACUAGAUGACUGACAAAAAAACUGAUUGGCAUAGCAUCUCGCGUCCGUCUCUGAAGAGAAACACAUGUCUCAUCUAGGGGCUGUGCAUACUCGGGCUCACCACGUUCAAUUUUAAACCUAUCUCAUUUACUGCAUCUACCACAUGUACUGAUUUGCUCUCCAGUAAAAAACAAACGUUCUUUAUCAUGUCCUGAGCUAUAUUAAAGCUGUGAUGUAUGAAAUUACAUACAGAGUUGUCCCAGAGCUUAAUUUUUUUUCUUACAAAUAACAAAUUCACACUGAUAAAAAAUUCCUGCAAAUUUCCUGAAAUUACAUAUAGGUUGACAUCGACUGGCAUUUGCCUUGCCCCCUGCCUUUACAAUAACACAUUCACUCCAUUCUUACUGUGUCAUGAUUUCUGAACCAGGUUUCGCCAUAUCAUCUUGGAUACUGUGUUUGAGAAAGUUGGCCUUCCAUCAGCUGCCUACUCUGCACCGAGCUCCUCUUCCAGUUCAGGCAACACCAUGGCUGAUGGAUCCUCCGCAAUGGCAACCUCGUUCGUGAACGUCCUGAUAGAUGAUGGGCUGCUGAUCAAGAACCUUCCUCCGGUUAAGUUGAAAGCUCUUAUUGUAUCGUUCUUCUCUUCAUUCCUCAAUUUCAUGGCUCAUGGCAUGCUAAUAUAAAAAGUUUACCUCCUGCACAAUCAAAGCUGUCUCCAAUCCACGUCACCAUCAGCAAGCAAUUCAUUCUUGAACGAGCAAUUGAAACAAUUGGUGGCACACUCCAUCCAUUCACUUUUACCGGUACAAGCAGCGAUGAUGUCGACGUCUCUCUCUCCAUUGACCUACCUCCCCACAGCAAAAGCAUGUCAAGCACAAGAAAGGAAUUCCAUGCCCCACACAUCGAAUCUACAUGUGUUGCUGCCCUCGCGUACCUACAGAAAACAGGUAUAGUCACAAUCGAUGAUGCAAACUUUGCAGAGCUGAAAAUAUGCAAAAGGGAACUUCAGGCUGAGGAGUUCUGGUCCUCGACUCUCUAUGAUAAGGCCAAUGCCCUGGGCAACCAGCUCUCUUUACUGACUGCCGCCAAGCAGAAACCCCAGCCUGAGGAUAAACAAGGAGCUGCUGUGUUGCCUCCUAACCAUCAUAAUACUCCACAGACCAGGCAGAAAGUGCUUUCCGAGGUAAACGACGGCACAAUACUUUUGUCCCUCUGUGUUAUCCUCCAGUGCUUAAUGCUCGUUUCCCUUAACCAUUGCUCAUCCACAGCAUGCCACUGGAAGGGAAACCACAUCAACCCCUGUCACAGAAACAAACAAUAGGUACUCUCCAUUACAUUGCCACACAACGCCGCUGCAAGUUCUUGCAUUCCUCUGUAUACCACCUUACCUCUCAUGUGAUGCUUUCUAUGUUGUGUGUUUCCUAUAUUAGAUAAGGGCUAUUGCUUGCUUAGACCAUAUUGAUUCUGAUUGGCCUAUUGUUCAAGUUCAAGAUAGUAGGGUUGAUGCUUGAGUACAUAAAUCAUUCAAUUACAUACAUCUCACAGUUUGUUUCUAUCAGGUUCGUGCGAGGUAGUCCCUAUGAAGUACAUCGACAAGCCGGAUGGAUUACGGCGCCUAUUAGUAUGCUUAGUGAUAAUGACUCCUUAGUUGACAAUGUUUAUUAUGUUCUUGCUCUUAUUACCUUCUCUUAUGUGUUCUCGCUUUUGGUAUUGAACCUGAUGUCAAAUGGCUAUCUUUUGUGGUCAUGUAAACGCACCAAGUUUGAUUCUGCCUUAUAAACCAAUGUUUAUCUUGUGCUCCAUCGUGCUUUAUUUUUUACCGCAAUUGAAUUUUUCUUUAAUUUAGUAUUACCCUGUAUAAGUGUAAAUGCUAUGCCUAAGUUCCUACUGACAUAGACAAAACGCUUGGACCGGCACCCUCGCGCCAAGGCGCGUUGCUGAUCUAGUUAGAUUUGAUGGGGCCAGGCCCAGCUGUGCUCCCGACGUCUCAAUUAAACAAGACCAAGUCUCCGAGAGUUCCUGUUCGGCGCCUUAUGCGCCCGAACAGGUCCCUGACGCCCACGCAGCGCCCUAUUGGGCCGGCCCGUGAACGUAUUGUGCCCGCGAACCUGUAGUAAAGAAACACCGGCAGAAAACAUGCCUACCCCAGGAUUCAAACUCAGGUCACUCGGCGACUAUGCCAGAUUCGCUAACCACUACAUCAAAUGCACAUUUUUGAUUGAUAUAAACCACCAAACUUAUAAGAACAAGUGCUGCUGCGCUAUUUAUUGCACAAUGCCCACCAUUGUUUGAAUUAUUUAGAAAAAAAUCGUGAAUUUAAAAACGUUCGUCAUUUUUUAAGAACAAUUCACAUACUUAAGAAAAAGCUUCAUCGAUUUUGAAAAAAGUUCAACCCUUUUCAAAAAUGUUCAUCGAAUUUGAAGAAAAGCUCAUCAAUUUAUAAAAAAAAUUCAUCGAGUUUGAAAAAAGUUCAUCAAACUUGAAAAAAGUUCAUCAAAUUUGAAGAAAAGUUCAUCGAUUUUAAAAAAAGUUCAUCGGGUUUGAAAAAGGUUCAUCAAAUUUGAAGAAAAUUUCAUAUCAAGUUCUCAAAAAAAUUCAUCAAAUUUGAAGAAAAGUUCAUCAAACUUGAAAAAAGUUCAUCAAAUUUGAAGAAAAGUUCAUCAAUUUUGAAAAAAGUUCAUAUCAAGUUUUCAGAAAAGCUCAUCAAAAUUGAAGAAAAGUUCAUCAAACUCAACAAACGUUCAUCAAAUUGAAGAAAAAAUCAUCAAUUUUGAAAAAGGAUCAUCAAAUUUGAUAAGAAGUUCGUCGAUUUUUAAGAAAUAGUCACGAAUUUUUUAGAAAAACAUCGAACCAGGAAGAAGAUUAAAGAAGAAAAGAAAAAAGAAAAGCAGACAAUAAUACUCCCUCUGUUCCAAAAUAGUUGUCGUCGGGGAUUAUCAGUUCAUUUUUUGUCACGUUACGAUAUUUCUCCCGUUUCCCCUUUUGCCCUCGCACUCGCUCUCUCCCCGACCGCACGCUCUCUCCCGGCCAACACUCUCUCCCCGACGACCACAAGGCGCCCGACGACCACUCGCUCCUCCCUGCCCAGAUCCCUUGUGCCGCCGGCCAGUCGCCGCCCUCUCCCUCUCGUCGGUGUCUUCCUCACCGCAGCCUUGCUCCUCACCACCCCUAAAACUAGCAACCCGUCUCCCCCUCGUCGGUCAAAGGUGAAAUUUUUACCAGCCGGGGUGCUCGAUCUGUGGGCGGCGGUGCUCGAUCCGUGUUGGAGCAGCGGGAGGAGGAGGGCAGUGCUGGAUUGGAGCAGCGGUGCUGGACCGGAGCAGCGGGAAUAGGGGGGGUGGUGCCGGCCGCUCUUACUUUGUGUAGUCCUCUUCACUCUCGUCAUGUCGUUGCCACCGCCGAGGAAGACGGAGAGCCUGUCGGAGGGAUGAGCGCCAUGGCCAGUUCUGACCUCCUCCGUCCAGAUCCAGCUCCAGGUCAGUUCACUACUCUUCCUCUCUCCAUGAAUUUUUUUGGGGCAGAGCCGAUUUGGCCAGCCUCCAGCUGCGAAUUUCUACUGAAUCGCCUGCCGUUUGUGGGUAAUUCCAGCAAUCAUCCCCUCUUGCUGCUUGCUAUCUCAAUUUCAAGACUGAAGAAGAGAACAUGGGGAGCAGCAGCUGCCCUCUGCUCUGCUCUUAUGCGAAUGCUCUACUGCAGGACCGUGGCAGCGAUGCUCGCCAAAGCGGACGACAACCACUCCCGUGCAAACAAAGGUACAGACUGGUCCUGGUGGGUGAUGAGGGCGCUCUGGCCUCUGUAGUUACAUGAGACAACAGUUCUUUGUGCAAAUGUUGACUGAAUUUGCCUCUGACUCGUCUCUGCACUUGACUGAAUUCGCCUCUUUGUGCAAUGUUGCUGCUACAGGUGAGCAUUCAGGAAAAGAACACUUGGCUGAACUUCAGGAAAAAGAUGCACUGAAUCUUAGUAAGCGGAUACUCAUAGUCGAAUUCUUUUGGAUGCACAUAUAGUUUGUAUCACAACUUAAAUAAUGACAGUAAAUAAACUCUCAAUUGCACUGUCCAGUAAUUGAAAAUAAAUUACACCUUUUCAGUUAAUCUAAAUUAACUGAAACCUUUUGUACUCCCAUGAUCAGUGUUAACACCGAAUUUGUAAGUGCAAGUAGUGCUUGUUUUCAGGAGUAGGAUGCUGAUCAAUAGUGCUUGUUUGGAGUAAUUGUUUGCUCUGUAGUGCAUUUUUGCUGCAGCCUAAUCUGUGGAGUAUCAAGCUAAUUGGAAGAAAGCCAAUUGCUUGCUCUGUAGAAACUUUUAUGUGCUCGAGUAUAGGAUUUGCUGUUUAGCAAGGCUUUGAGUAAUUCUACUCACUUCUCUUCUCUUCAGUAAAUUAAAUUUAGGAGUAGGAGUAGUUCUUAGAACUACUAUGCACCUUAAAACUACUCCUGUUAAUUAACUGAAACUACUCUGCACCUUAGAACUACUCCUGUUAAUUAACUGAAAAUACUUUUUUAAGUUAAUUAACUUAAUUUCUUUCUGUUAGGAGUAGGAGUAGUUCUUGGAGUAGGAAGAGGAGCAGUGCGAAGAAUUCUCUUCUCUUCUCUUACUCUUCUCUUCUCUACUCUCGCUCUCUUCUCUUCACUUCUCUUUCUCUUCUCUUUUCAGUAGUCUGCUCCAAAAUUCUGCAAUGAGGCCCGUGUUUCCACUGCUAUAUAUUUUCUGAAUCACAUUUUCAGUUUUGCAAAUUCUGCAAUUUUGCACAUGAAGCUUCUGUAAUUUUGCCCAUGAAGCUUCAGAUUUUAGCACAUGAAGCUUCUGCUACUGUUAAUCUUGUCAUGAAUCUUCUGUUGACUUGGUACAUUAGCUUAAAAUGAAUCUUUUCCUUUAAGUAAAACUAAAUGAAACUUUUUUUUAAUUUAACAGUUGCAGACUUGCAGUAGUAUAGCACUUGCAGUAGUGUAGGACAUCAGUAGUUUAGUGUAGGACAGCAAUAGUUUGGUGUAAGUUUCAGUUCAUUAACUGAAUUUUUUCAGUUACUUAACUAAAACUUUUUCAGUUACAACAGGACUUCUCUUCUCUCUUCUUCUCUCUUCUCUUUCUCUUCUUGCAUCUGUAGUUUAGUGUACUUCCCUUGUGCCCUCCAUACUCCUCUCCUCUCCCACUCAUUUCCUCUCCUACUACUUUGCUUGUUCUCUUCUUCUCUAAAUUAUCUUCUCAUCUCUAAAUUCACUCAUCUUGUCUCCUACUACUCUCUUCUCUUCUCUUUCAUUUAAAUGGAGUACUCCACACAAGCAAAUGAAUUACACAUACAAGUCUCACAAAAUGGAGAAAAAAUAUAUGGAGUAAAAAUGAUCACAAAAUGAAGUUACACAUACAAGCCUCACAAAAUGGAGUAUUACACAUAUGGAGUAAUUUCACAUGGGAUGCACUCCGCACAAGUCUCAUCUCAAGGAACUACACAUACUCCACAUCUGAACAAGCCUCAUGUCAAGCAUCGGAACAAGCCUCAUCUCAAGCAUCUGAACAAGCUCAUCUCAAGCAUCUGAACAAGCCUCAUGUCAAGAAUCGGAACAAGCCUCAUCUCAAGCAUCUGAACAAGCCUCAUGUCAAGCAUCGGAACAAGCCUCAUCUCAAGCAUCUGAACAAGCCUCAUGUCAAGCAUCGGAACAAGUCUCAUCUCAAGCAUUCGAACAAGCCUCAUCUCAAGCAUCCGAACAAGCCUCAUCACUGAACCCUCCCCAUUACCUCUAAGUUGUAUAGGGCAUUCGUGUAAACCUCUUUCGGGCAUGUUAGUCUUGGAGGUAGCUACCCAAGACCCUCAAGCCUUUCCUUGUUAACAUGUGGUAUUUUAUACCCAUUUCCCUCCGCAUGGUUCAUGAUCUCAAUCAUGCACAUUUGUAGAGUUAGGAAAAUUCUGUUGAGCUUGUAAACAUCAUAGCCUUCAAAUUCCUCCCAAACACCUGCAAUAAGGUCUUGUAGUGUUUUAGGACUCAGACAAUCUGUCAGCGAUUGCAGCGAGUUGAAAAACCCAAGGUCAAGCACAUUCAAAUCAGGACUGUUGGCAGGCUGUUGUACUAAUCUAAUGUCAAGUCUAGUUUUUGCGACAGCUGCUAGAAAUUCCUGGUCAUCUGGCAAGAUAUGGGGCUUAGCAUUAUCCUGCUGAAUGUAGAUGGUCUGUCCAGCAUCACUUUCCGGCCAAACUGCUUGUAUCGCUGGCAAGACUUUCUCUAUCAGGAACUCCCUCAUCACUUUUCUAUCGACCUUUAUUGACUUUGUCUCUAUUGUACCUCUGGGCCUGUUGUCGCUUCUCCUCUGAGCAGGAACUUCUUUCACGAAUGGCCAGAUACCGAUUUUCCUAGAGAAGGUCACGUUCCUUCGCUGUCCCACCUUGGCCUAGCAACGGCCGUUAAAAACAUCACCUUGCCAAUACAGUUGCCGUGUAUAGGCCUCGUAGGCUCUUCCUCCCCAUCCAGCAGAUAAUAUGUUCUAUUCUUCUUUGUCAUGUUAAACCACUUCUCGUCAAUAUGGACAACGUUAUGCAGUCUUGAACUUAGGCCUCGCAGUUGUUGUUGUUGCCUCAUCAAAAAUCGACAAACAAAAAUUCAUCCUAUCCAUCUUAUUCUUUUCCUUUAAAGCCGGCUUCACACAGUUUGUAUGCCUCCUAAUCAAAUUUAGCAUGAACUUUCUAUGAAGUGUAGUAGGCUACAUCCCAGUUGACAGGCUAGUGAUCUAAUAGUAGACCUCCUGUUUAAUGGGAUUGUUAGGAUUUUUUCUAGGUUAAUGUCCUUAGGCUUUCUUCCAGAAUUUCCUUUUCUCUGAUCGGCAACAUCUACCUCUUGACCUUGUUGAAUUUGCAACAUUGCUUUCCUCCAAAUUCUUUGUAUAUUCCAAACACCCACUCCAAAAUUUUUUGCAAUAUCUUGCUUAUCAGUUUUCUUAAAAGUGCCUCCUCUACUCAUACACAGUGUAUGCAAUGCUACAUAAGCAUCAAUUUUUUGCUGAUCAUUGAGGGUUUUAUUUUUUCUACCAACUUGCCCAGCACCCGCACCAAGACAUACAACAAAGAAAUGAUUAAAUGAAAUGAUCAAGUGAUGAAGUGAUGGAAUGAUCAAGUGAUGAAAUGAUGGAAUGAUCAAGUGUAACUGUACCUGGAUUUUGAACAAUUUCGUCUCCUUCCAUUCCCUCUCCAUCAUCUCCUUCCAUAUCAUCUCCUACAUGUCCUUCCAUUUCAUUUUCUGCAUUUUCAUCCAUUUCACCCACAUCUUCUGCAGGUGGAGUGAAGUUGAGGUCUGGGAGAUCCAUUUUCUCCUGAAGAUAUGAAUAUGUAAGAUGAAGUAGAAGUAGAAGUAGAAGUAGAAGUAGAAGUACAAGAAGAAGAAGAAGAAGUACAUAUAAAUUCAGUCUGUGUACUGUCAAUUGUUGUAUGUUUACUGUCAAAGCAAGAAUUAGUCAAUUGCUGUCUGUUUACUGUCAAAGCAAGAAUGACAAUAUUGUUAUGGUCAAUUGUUGUCCGUUUACUGUCAAAGCAAGAAUUAGUUUCCUAGGUUAAUGAAACAUUACCAGCCAUAAUUAGUUUUCUGUAUCUUAAUUAUCUCUGAACAUUUUUGCCUGAAAACUGAAUGUACAAUGUUUCUGUAGAUAAUUUGGUCGAAAAGGGACGACAUGCUGAGGUGUACAACAUUCAGUUUCUCUUUCGACAUGCUGAGCUCUAUAAGUGCUCACAUUCUUUGUAUGGAUCUUAUUGAAUGAGUACUUGUUAACAUUGGUACCAUUUUCUUCAGAUUUUCGUUGGUGGUCUUCUGAUUGAUUUGGAAGGAAGAAUUGUUGGUAUGAAUUUCAUAGACGAGAAUAAAACUCCCUUUUUGCCCGUCCAGAUUGUUGGGAGAUGCCUGAAACACUUCAGAAAUUUGGGUAUGUUUUUCUUUUCCUUUGCUCCUGAAGCUAUUCUGUACUUAGGCCUGAAGCUAUAAAAUUUUGUUUCCUUGGCAAAAAAUUCAGUUUACAAAAAUACUGUAAAUGACAUCAGUAGAGAUUAGUUGAAGAGAUUACUGCUUUAAAUGACAUCAGUAGAGAUUAGUUGGUGUAGUACUACCUGAAGUGACAUUACUUAGUGUAGUACUGCUUGGAGUAGCCUGCUUGCAGUACUUCUUUUCAUGGAGCUGCUUGCAGUAGUUUAUGAUUUGCAGUCAGAUUAGCUUGGAGCGGUAGCAUUGCUUGCUCUGCUAUUCUCUUCUCUUCUUUUAUUUUAAUUAAAAUUAACUCAACCUUUUCCUUUAGUAAAAUUAGCCGGAACUUUCCCAGUUAAUUAAAAUAACUGAAACUGUUCCUUUAAUGCUUGCAUAAACUUUUUUAUACUCUAAUGAAGGUUUUGUGUACUCUACUGCUUGCAUCAGUACUUUUAAAAAUAAAUGAAUCUUUUCUCUCUUCUCUUCUCUUUGUCAAGAAUGUACUUACUCAAGAAUUACCACCACUUAGACCAAAGGACCAGUUGGUAUUAAUUUCAGAGAUAGAUGUAAUUUCAGUUAAAUUCAGUUAUGCACACAAAAUUCAGUUAAUAGCUUAAUGUUUUGGACUGAUGAUGUUGUUGGAAUUUGUACUACUGAAAAUUAAAAAAAUGUACUCCUUUAAUUAACAUUGAUUCAUUGAGAUGGUGGUAUGAUCAAAUUAAGAAAAUUCAGUACCUUUUCUGUUACUGUAGAGUACUUAAAAAUUAGGAGUAGCUAGGAGCAAAAUUAAAAUUAGGAUUAGGAUGGUGGUAUGAUUGCUGCUAUUCUUAACAUCAUUGGCUGGCUUGCCAUCUCCUUCGCAAAAGUAUGACAAUAGUGCAUUUUCCAAAGGCUUAGUUUCACCACUUGCUGUUGCUGCUUCUGAACCUGUCGCGCUUGUCGGCGUUUGUUUUACAGGACACUUCUUUCCUGUAUAUGUGACGAUUGCUUGAAGGAUUUGGUGUUGGUGUCAUAUCCUACACGGUUAGUAUAAGAAAUCUUUCUGCCUGCUUUUUUUUGCAUUAAGUAUGUCUAUCUAGUUAAGUUAUUAAGCAACCAAGAACAUCCUAGCCGAAGUUGCAUGACCCAAUACUAACACCAGAAGUGAUCUCAUAGAUGUAGAGCCACACUUAGUGCCAGAACUAACAUUGUUUUCUUGAGUUCUUAAUCAUGAUCUGGAGUACUAGCAUGGAGUAAUUUGUUUGCAAGAGUACAAUUGCAAGCAUGAGUACACUGAAUUUCUUGUAGCAGAUGGAGCACAUAAAAAUGGAGUAGCUCACCUACCGUUGAUCUGCUAAUUUGCCAAUUUUCUGCUCCUUGCUGCUCCUUGCUGAUCCUUGCUGCUCCUUGCUGAUCCUUGCUUCUACUGUUGAUCUGCUAGUUUUGACAGGUGAACAGAUGGACAGUGGCUGCUCCUUGCUGAUCAAUUCAAAAUUGCUCUGGCUAUCAAUUCAAGCUUGCUAUGAUUGGUGAGAAGACGUCCUGGUCAAUCACCACAUCUGAUCAAUUUCUGUCUGUGGCGAGAAGAAGUGGUACAACUCCGGCGAUCAAUUUCUUUGGCGAUUAACAAUUUUGAUCAAUUCAAACAGCAACACAUGCAGUGCUAGUGCUGCUGUUGGUCAGUGCGGGGAGUAGCACGGGCGGAGGUCAAUUGGCCGGAUCCGGAGCUCCAGUGCCUGAAUCGAGGAGCUGGAAGGCUGAGGCAGGAGGAGGAGCACAGGCUGCACUGCUGCUGCUGUUGGUCAGUGCGGGGAGGAGCACGGACGGAGGUCAAUUGGCCGGAUCCGGAGCUCCAGUGCCUGAAUCAAGGAGCUGGAAGGCUCAGGCAGGAGGAGGAGGAGCACGGGCGGCGCUGUUGCUGGUCGGUGCGGGGAGGAGCAUGGGCGGCGCGAAGGCCAGUAGUCGCGGGGGGCGCGACGGCCAGGAGUCGCGGGCGGCUGGAGGCUGUGGCGGACGGCGAGGGAGCUGCGUACGAGUUUGGGCUCUUGAUUGGAGCGGAGGAAGGCGGCCGACGAGGGAGCUGCGACCGGCGCGGACGGACGCCGGAGCUGCAGCAGUGGGAUGGAGCCUGGCGGAGGGGAGGAGCGAUGGAGUAAGACGAAGAUCCCCGGCGACAAGAAUUUCAAAUUGAGGGUAGUUUGGUAUUUUAUCCUGUUUUCACCUGGUCGGAAAAGUUCCCCAACGACAACUAUUUCGGAACAGAGGGAGUAGAAGGGAAAGAUGUUAGUAGUCACGUGAGAAUUGGUGGCGGGAUGGUAAGUAGGAGCUAAUUUAAGGCGGCAGGUCCUG
RNAcentral lists this long non-coding RNA (55190 nucleotides) under Triticum aestivum (bread wheat). Its description in RNAcentral is "long non-coding RNA (TAES_LNC012080)". The record is from RNAcentral. Lineage: Eukaryota; Viridiplantae; Streptophyta; Magnoliopsida; Poales; Poaceae.